UGGGAUCGGCUAUAUGAAUCUUAGAACGCCAUUGUGCUCGAUCCUGUGUCAUGUCCUUCGUUAGAUCCAAGUACUCUAAGUCUUUUCUUAGAGUCUCUUCCAAAGUUUUCCUAGGUCUUCCUCUACCCCUUCGGCCCUGAACCUCUGUCCCAUAGUCGCAUCUUCUAAUCGGAACGUCAGUAGGCCUUCUUUGCACAUGUCCAAACCACCGUAACCGAUUUUCUCUCAUCUUUCCUUCAAUUUCGGCUACUCCUACUUUACCCCGGAUAUCCUCAUUCCUAAUCUUAUCCUUUCUCGUGUGCCCACACAUCCAACGAAGCAUCCUCAUCUCCGCUACACCCAUUUUGUGUACGUGUUGAUGUUUCACCGCCCAACAUUCUGUGCCAUACAGCAUCGCCGGCCUUAUUGCCGUCCUAUAAAAUUUUCCCUUGAGCUUCAGUGGCAUACGGCGGUCACACAACACGCCGGAUGCACUCUUCCACUUCAUCCAUCCAGCUUGUAUUCUAUGGUUGAGAUCUCCAUCUAAUUCUCCGUUCUUUUGCAAGAUAGAUCCUAGGUAACGAAAACGGUCGCUCUUUGGUAUUUCUUGAUCUCCGAUCCUCACCCCUAACUCGUUUUGGCCUCCAUUUGCACUGAACUUGCACUCCAUAUAUUCUGUCUUUGAUCGGCUUAGGCGAAGACCUUUAGAUUCCAACACUUCUCUCCAAAGGUUAAGCUUUGCAUUUACCCCUUCCUGAGUUUCAUCUAUCAACACUAUAUCGUCUGCGAAAAGCAUACACCAAGGAAUAUCAUCUUGAAUAUGUCGUGUUAACUCAUCCAUUACCAACGCAAAAAGGUAAGGACUUAAGGAUGAGCCUUGAUGUAAUCCUACAGUUAUGGGAAAGCUUUCGGUUUGUCCUUCAUGAGUUCUUACGGCAGUCUUUGCUCCUUCAUACAUAUCCUUUAUAGCUUGGAUAUAUGCUACUCGUACUCCUUUCUUCUCUAAAAUCCUCCAAAGAAUGUCUCUUGGGACCCUAUCAUACGCUUUUUCCAAAUCUAUAAAGACCAUGUGUAAAUCCUUUUUCCCAUCUCUAUAUCUUUCCAUCAAUCUUCGUAAGAGAUAGAUUGCCUCCAUGGUUGAGCGCCCUGGCAUGAACCCGAAUUGGUUGUCCGAAACCCGUGUCUCUUGCCUCAAUCUAUGCUCAAUGACUCUCUCCCAGAGCUUCAUUGUAUGACUCAUUAGCUUAAUACCCCUAUAGUUCAUGCAAUUUUGUACGUCGCCCUUAUUCUUGUAGAUAGGCACCAAAGUGCUCAUUCGCCACUCAUUUGGCAUCUUCUUCGUUUUCAAAAUCCUAUUGAAAAGGUCAGUGAGCCAUGUUAUACCUGUCUCUCCCAAAAGUUUCCACACUUCGAUUGGUAUAUCGUCUGGGCCUAUUGCUUUUUUAUGCUUCAUCUUCUUCAAAGCUACAACCACUUCUUCCUUCCGGAUUCGACGAUAAAAAGAGUAGUUUCUACACUCUUCUGAGUUACUCAACUCCCCUAAAGAAGCACUCACUUCAUGUCCUUCAUUGAAAAGAUUAUGAAAAUAACCUCUCCAUCUGUCUUUAACCGCGUUCUCUGUAGCAAGAACCUUUCCAUCCUCAUCCUUGAUGCACCUCACUUGGUUUAGGUCCCUUGUCUUCUUUUCCCUUGCUCUAGAUAGUUUAUAGAUAUCCAACUCUCCUUCUUUGGUAUCUAGUCGUUUAUACAUAUCGUCGUAAGCCGCUAACUUAGCUUCUCUGACAGCUUUCUUCGCCUCUUGCUUCGCUUUUCUAUACCUUUCACCAUUUUCAUCAGUCCUCUCCUUGUAUAAGGCUUUACAACAUUCCUUCUUAGCCUUCACCUUUGUUUGUACCUCCUCAUUCCACCACCAAGAUUCCUUUUGGUGUGGGGCAAAGCCCUUGGACUCUCCUAAUACCUCUUUUGCUACUUUUCGGAUACAACUAGCCAUGGAAUAGGGUACACUUUUUUACCACAAAAGGGAAAGAAAAAAGAAGAGGGACAUUUAUAGCUAGUGGUCUGUCUCACUUAAUUUGUUUCUGUUUUCCCCCUUCUAUUCCCUCAUGCAGGUGAUUAUUCACUAUUACGUUGAACGCCAGUGCCUGCUGAAGUGCACGAGGAGUAUUCUCACACAUGCUUGUAAGUCAAUCAUCAAUCCCACCCUCCAUUUAAACUUUCUAUGGCAUCAUGGAUACAUUUUUAGAGCUGAACUUCAACAAAUGUUUGAGAAUUGGUCAUUAAUACAGUGUCUUUUGGAAGCGUCUCUGGAGAAGCUAAUGCUAUUAAGGAGGAAGUACUAAAGUUGAUUUCUGACGGAAUGGAGGCGAAGCUGAUAAAUGUGCUGCAAGUCCUUUCUCCUCCGAUCACCCUGAACAAAUGGUAUGCAUAAAUCCCAAUUCAAGAACGGACUUUGUUUGAUUUUGAGUCUUCUAAACUAGAUGGAAAAUAUGAUAUUACCCCUUAAGUUUAUAAAUCCCUACUCCCUAGUGUAGCAAUUAGGUUGUUUUCCCCGCUUCAGGCGCCCUUUUGAUCUUUUCGUUUUUAUGGGAUGUGCUAUGCCAAAUUAUGAAGUUCAUUGACAUCAAAAUUACAUCUUACUGCAUUGUUGACCAUCUUUGGCUACAAUGUCAGUAGUGGGGGACAGGAAGCUGACACAAUGGACAAGGUAACUCUUUGGUAUUUUAUCUUUUACUAGGUUUUCAUAUUGUUAUUUGAGAUAGUGUGUUGAAGGAGGUUAUGUUAAGUAAAACUGAGGUUGUAGUGACCUAAGGGUGUGUUUGUUUGGGCUCACUAAGUUUCAUUGGACUGGACUGGACUAUAGUCUAGUGUUUGUUUCGCACGGGAAUUAAGUUUAAUGGGAUUAGCCGGUACUCGCUCCGACUAACCCCUUCGCUAAAAGUUCUUAGCGAGAACCCCAAUUCUCACGGGAUUGCUAAGCCCUUCUUUGAGAGCGUUGCUCGUUCCUCAUUCUUGGUCGUCUUUCUCGUCGGUCCUCCUCCUCGCUGAUCCUCCUCGCUCGUCCUACUCCCUCGUCCUGCUCGUCCUCAUCUGGUAAAUUCCAAAUCCGACGACCUAUUUCUAUGAUUUUGUUUUGUAGAUUGUGAAAUUAUUAUUGGGUUCUGAUCGAUUUUGUUGUUUUGGGUUCAAAAUCUAUGACAUUAUUAAUGGGUUCUGAUUGAUUCCUCGUAUAAUCCUUUUAUUUAUGAUAUACCUUCUUAUAAUUUGAAGAAAUCAAAAUCAGUUAUGAUUUCAAUGUUCGAUCUUUUGAUCUACCAUUAUUUUCCAUAUAUUAAGUGAAUUCUCUAGCCCCCUUGCCUAUUUGGACAGUCUAGUUUGAGAUGAUAUAGUAGUUGAUAGCUGUGAGUGCAUCAGUCAUUUUUAAUGUCCACUGGGAUUGCAGUUUUGUUGUAGCUUUGUAUAAUCGUGAUACAAUAUGAUGCUUUUACCAUUGCCAUUGCAUUAGUUUCAUCUGGUCCCAUAGGGUCACAGGGUUAACUUAGUUGUUCGGUUGAUGUUUGCGAGAAAAUGGUGUUAUCCUUGUUGUUCAGAAAUAAUUUUGAAUUUUGAUUAGAAAGAUUGUCAAUUUUUGUGGAUAAUUUUAGUUUUUUUUUCUUCAAUUUUAUGGUUUUGAGCACAGUAUCAGCAUCCCUUCCUUUCACCAUAUAGUAUGUACUUGUGGCACAAGAGAAGUACCAAGUAUCGUGUAGGUCCUUACCGAUGCUUGUUCUCUCAACGAACACAACUAACUAUAUAUUAUAUAUAUAUAUAUAUAUUUGGUGGUGAGGAUUUACUUCUAUGAGGUAUUUCGUUAUCUAAUUUCUUCAAAGUGGUGGUGUUACUAGGUUUGCCAGAUCCUCAGGGAUGCAGCCACUAGUUACAACAUGAUUAUAGUUUUCUAUUAAGUAGAAUCAUCAUUUCUAGGUGUAGCGCCUUUUUGAGCUUUGAUUGUGAAAGAGGAAAUUUUCCUCUGUAACUUGUUAGAAAUAGUCUAGUUGUGAUUGUGACUAUGUAUUGUAUCUAACACUUGUGGCUUUUACUUGUUCGUUCACACCUCAUUUUGUUAUUUUAUUGUGUUGGAUUGGCGGUCCAUUUUUUACUGGUACCAUGCAUGUAGAGGCUUCCUUAUUGGUAAUGUAAGUAGGAAUUGGUAUGCUAUGUUGAGGUUGGAGCUCUUGUCUUGUUUCGUUAUGUGUCUAAAAUUCGUGAGUGAGUGUGAGAUGAGUGAGUGGGUGUGAAAUGGUUGGCCAUUCAUGUCUGAUCUUGGUUUUCAACACCUCUAGGCAUUUGAACUCAGAUUUCUGUCUUUAAGUAUAUGCAUUCUUCAGAUGCUUACUUAAAACCAACUUAGUGAAAAUGAUUCAAUGUUAACGGUUGAUCUCAUUUUCUUUUAAACAGUUUGAUUCGAAUUUUGAUUUAAAGAGGAAACAGCGCUUUUGAGCAUUUCGUCUCUUGACUUCCUAAGGUUAAUUGUUUCUUGUUAUCAGACAUACUAGAAAGGUCGACAUAUAAAAGAUAAAUACAAUAAAGGUUAACAACUAUUUAGAAACUUUCCCUAUAUUGGACAAUCUCAGUGUUGACUUGUUGUGAAGUGACCUAGAACAAGCCAAUGAUCGGUACUCUUGUGUUCGCAUAGGGUAAGCUUUUGUUUGUGCCUUUUGAUCUUGUUAGGAAAUAGAAAGGAAUUAUAAAUAUGCAAAUUAAAAAGGAAUAGAUUCUAUUGAAUAAGUUUACAACUAAAUGAAUCCAAAGCCUUUGCUCUAAAAAUAUUGUGCUAUUGUUGAGACCCCUGCUGAUUCUAUUGAUGGAGUUUCGGUUACAUAUUUUCAUAUAAAGCAAUAUACUUAAGACUAGGACAACAUAUUGAUGGAGUUUACUUCUUUUGAUAUAGUUGCCUUGUUUCAUGCUUACUUCUUUUGUCUAAAGCUUAAUUAUGAUGUCCAGUGGAAGUGUUAAGUUUUCUGGGCAUGUGCUUUCACCUUCUAUGUAUGUAACAGGGACUUUUGUUGGUAUACAUGGAAAUAAGACUCAUUAGCAUUCCUGAAUUUUGUGAGACGGGAGUUGUUGUUGUGUUAAACUUGGGGAAUCUUGAAUGUCGUACAUUCAGUGUGUGUGUAUGCAGUAUGUGUGCAGUGUGUGUGUGUGCAGUGUGUGUGUAUGCAGUGUGUGUGUGUGUGCAGUGAGUGUGAGUGUGUGCAGUGUGUGUGUGCAGUGUGUGUGUGUGUGUGUGCAGUGAGUGUGUGUAUGCAGUGUGUGUGUGUGUGCAGUGAGUGUGAGUGUGUGCAGUGAGUGUGAGUGUGUGUGCAGUGUGUAUGCAGUGUGUGUGUGUGCAGUGUGUGUGUGUAUGCAGUGUGUGUGUGUGUGUGCAGUGAGUGUGAGUGUCUGUGCUUUGUACUUGGUUUAUAACCAUGAUAUUACAAUGUGAAUGUUUUGUAUUGUGUGGGGUUGAUGCUGAAUUGCAUUUUUUUGUGGUUGUUGGUUGCAGAGAAGAGGAGCAUAAACGGAAGGCUAAGGCUAAGGCUACUGCAUUACAGGUGUCCUUUAAUUUCCCUCUUCACAUGCAAUGCCUAGCAAUGAUAGCAAUCCUCAUACUAGUGUUCUUAGACACAUGUUUAUAGAUAUAUAAGAGUAGAACAUUUUGAAUAUGAUGCCUCGGGUUAAUGAUAACUUUUUUUUUUCAACGCCACCUGUAUAUUUGUUGCCUCGGGUUAAUGAUAACUUUUUUUUUUUCCAACACCACCCGUAUAUUUGAUGCCUCGGAUUGUGACUUCGCUAGUUACUUUGAUCUAGUUCAUUUCGUAUCAUAAUCACUUCAUUUCCAUCACCCUUAAUAACAGUAAAUAUUACAUAUAUAAUGUCCUGAAUUUGUUUUUUGUUUUUUUUUUUGUUUGGAUAGAUAUGGAUCGAAGGAAGCUUUUAUUGAUCUUAUUGUUAGAGAUGUCUUACUUGGAGACAAUUUGUAUUUGUACGAUUCUUGUGGUGAUGAUGCUACGUGGCAAACAGAGACAUGUUGAACGACCCACAUUGACUAACCGUUCACUUAUUAGACGAGAGAUUAGUUUGUGUUAUCUGAAUGGUAUAAUAGGGAAUACUGAUACUGAAUGUGUUAACGAAUUGAGAAUGGAUAGAAGGACUUUUGGCAUAUUAUGCGACUUACUUCGUCAAGAUGGGAGGGUAAAAACUGAUGGUUUGGUGUCUGUAGAGGAACAGGUGUGUAUGACUUUACAAAUAUUAGCACAUCAUACUAAGAAUCGUAGUGUUGGCGGUAGAUUUUAUAGGUCGGGAGAGACUAUAAGUAGGUAUUUCAAUAGAGUAUUGCAAGGAAUUUUGCGAUUACAAGGUAUUCUACUAAAAGUCCCCCAGCCUGUGCCUAUUGAUUCUACAGAUGCUAGGUGGCGAUGUUUUAAGGUAUGAUGAGAAAUUUUUUUCAUUUUCCCUAAGCUUUAACUCUUCAUUCCCUUUGUAUAAAUUAACAAAAAGUUUUUUAUUUUUAUUUUAAGAAUUGCUUGGGAGCAUUGGAUGGAACACACAUUGAUGUGCAUGUACCUGAAAUUGACAAACCAAGAUACCGAACAAGAAAGGGUCGAGUCGCAACUAAUGUGUUAGGUGUGUGUUCAGGAGAUAUGCAGUUCAUAUAUGUGUUUCCGGGGUGGGAGGGUUCCGCAUCAGACUCUAGAGUGCUACAUGAUGCAAUUAGUAGGCCUAAUGGUUUUAAGGUACCAGCGGGUAAGACUAUUACUUAGUCUCAACUUUCUAAGUUAGGUUUAGUUAUGUUUGUCAACUACAAAACACUAAUAAGGUCUGUUUUUUUUUUCAUUAGGUUGUUAUUACCUUGUAGAUGGUGGUUAUACAAAUGGUGAAGGAUUCCUUGCACCCUAUAGAGGAAUACCUUAUCAUUUAUCUGAAUGGGAGGGACGAACACCUUCUAAUAAGGAAGAAUAUUUUAACAUGAAGCAUUCUAAGGCAAGGAAUGUAAUUGAACGCUGUUUUGGCUUGCUAAAAGGAAGGUGGUCGAUACUAAGGAGUCCAUCUUUCUAUCCGAUAAGGACACAAGGUCGAAUAAUUACUGCUUGUUGCCUACUACACAAUCUUAUUAGGCAAGAGAUGUCAGUAGAUCCAAUGGAGAAUUUGCCAAUAAUAGAAGAUGGACAAAAUACAGAAGAAGGUGAAUAUGUUGGUAGUGUUCAAACAUCGAACCAGUGGACUGCAAUGAGGAAUGAUAUGGCUCAGGAAAUGUAUAAUGAGUGGAGAGCAAUUAGGAACCAGCAACCGAACUAGCUAUAUGUUUUAAUGAUAACAUUUUAUUUUAGUAUUCCUUUUUAUCAUGCAUUUGUUAGAUAUUAGCACAAUGAUUGGAUGGUAUGCAAAUUAAUUGGAUAUUAUGCAAGUUGAUUGGAUAUUAUUUAAAUUGAUUAUUUGUAUGGUAUUUUCCUUCAUUAAAAUAUUUUUUGUUUAGGUAUGGAUAACGAAAAUAUUUUGAAUGCUACUCAAGAGGCAAAAGGAAGAAGGCGUAAAUGGGAAGCAUUUGAGGAAGAAGUAUUACUAGGAGUUCUUGAGGAUUUUGUUGCUCGGAAGCAACGGUGUGACACCGGUGCUUUCAAACAAGGUAUUUUGGUUGAAAUAGCAAAAGCUAUCAAUGUUUUAUGUCCUCAUUCAAAUAUAAAGGCAAAUCCACAUAUUGAGUCCAAGUUGAAGAAAUGGAAAAAAACAUAUAGUAUGGUCGUUGACAUGAUAAACACAAGUGGAUUUGCAUGGAAUGAUGUUAAAAAGUGCGUUGAAGUUGACAGUGAUGACGCAUGGCAAACUUAUGUGCAGGUUCAUAUCCUAUUUUAUUUAUGCAUUAGUUAUAUUCUUGCUCCUAUAUUUGUUACGCAUGCUAAAUUUUAGUUUUGCUAUGUUGAUAUAAUCUUAGAGAAAUAAAGAAGCCGAUGGAUGGAGAAGAAGCAAACCUUUUCCACUGUUUGAUAGAUUUGCAUAUAUAUUUUGGAAAAGAUCGGGCUACGGGUAAUGUAGCCGAAACCCCUGCUCAAAUGGUGGAGGAACAAAGUCAUGAUCAUGUUGGUGAAAGUGAUAUUGGAGGUGAAAAUUUUGUUUCUUCAAUGAACCAACAAAGCCAACAAAGCACCCCAUCUGAAAAUAGCCAAAGAAAGAGGAAAAGAGCUGUGGGAAGUUCAAGUGAUGGAACCGAGGCAAUUAUCAGUGGACUGAAAGAUUUUUAUGUUGAAAGUGGGAAGAGGAUGCAAAUGGUAACUGAAGCUUUAGUUCAAGGUACUGCAGAUCAUACUGACAUAGCUAAUGAACUUGGAGAAAUGGGUAUCUCUCCUAUGGAUCAAAUUGAUGCAUUGUCUCUUAUUUUGGAUAAACCAAAAAAUGUGGGAGUGUUCAGGGCAAUCAAACCGGAACUCAAGAAAGUGUUCGUCCAAAGGCUUUUAAGCGACAACGCAAGCGGAUGAGGAUUUUGGCUAAUGUUAACAUGGAUGUAUUUUAUUAACGUUAACAUGGAUGUAUUUUAUUAAUCAUACAAUCUUAUCUUAUGACUUAUAACUUAGCUUUGCACUAGUAUUUUGGCUUAUGUUAACUAGCCAUUUUGUAAAUUAUAGAGAUCUAUUUUGGCUAAUGUUAACUAAUGUUAACUAGGAUUUUCUAAAUUAUGGAGAUCUUAUGUACUUGUAUUUUGUUGAAGUUGCAUGUAUUGGCCACUAUUAUAGCGCGUUUACUAAUCCGUAAUCAAAUUGAGAGGAAUCGGAUUGAGGAGGAAUUUGAUUGAGGAGGAAUUGAAAUGAGGUGGAAUCAGAAUCAGAUUCUUGUUGAAAUUGUUUACUAAAACUGUCUGGAAUCGGAAUACAAUUCCAUAAAGCUGUUUACUAAUUCAGCAGAAUCGGAAUAUAAACCAGUAUGAUUACUAAAAUGCCCUUGUCCCAAAUCAAAUAUUUUAUAUACUUUUUUUAAUAAUAAAAUUUGAUAUAGUAUAUAAUAGUAACAAACUGAUUUUGCAUUGAGUAACAAACUGAUUCUGCAUGAAGUAACAAAUUGAUUCUGCAUUGAGUAACAAACUGAUUCUGCAUGAAGUAACAAACUGAUUAUGCAUUGAGUAAUAAAAUGAUUCUGCAUGUAUUUAGGAGUUACUUUAGAUCGAUUGAAUUUACUCUAGGUCGACUGAUAAAUAAAAUGGGUCGACUGAUAAAUAGAAUGGGUCGAUAAAUAGAAUGGGUCGACUGAUAAAUAGAAUGGGUCGACUGAUAAAGGCAACAGUCAGCCCUUUUACACAGAAUUAGUUCAAUACAUAAGCCGACUGAAGUAAUUGGGUCGACUGAUAAAUAGAAUGGGUCGACUGAUAAAUAGAAUGGGUCGACUGAUAAAGGCAACAGUCAGCCCUAGUUCAAUACAUAAACCGACUGAAGUAAUUGGGUCGACUGAUAAAUAGAAUGGGUCGACUGAUAAAUAGAAUGGGUCAACUGAUAAAGGCAACAGUCAGCCCUUUUACACAUAAUCAGUUUAAGUAAAGCAUUAACUUUAACAUUUCCAUCCUAAAUUUUUUUUCUGGACUUUUACACUACGACCCCUUGUGGUAAGAUUCCUGGCUCCGCCACUGGUUGUGCAUAAUGUGAAUGAGCAUAGAAUUAUGCUUAAUGAGCAAGAAGGACAUGGAAAGAAAUUGUUAGGAGCAUUUUCAGUCUUAACUCUUCAAGCUACAUUUGCAAAUUAAACCCAAUUCUAUUAGCAGGUAAUAGAAACAAAACAAUUGUCAAUUUUUUUUUUAAGAUUCAUAAUAUACAUGGCAAAAAUAUGCUCCAAUUAACCCAUAUCAUGAGAUUUGUAGCAUUACUCUAUUACACAAUGGCAAAAAUUUGUAGUCCUAGUCUAAGCAAACACAAAUCUGGUGAACAGUACUGUUUUUCUUAUCCUGCUUCUUAGUCCGAGACUGCACCAAACGCUUCACUAAGUUAGUCCAGCUUAGUCCAGUCUAAGCCAGUCCAGCUUAGUCUCGGCAGCUAGUCCAGUCCGAGACAGUCCGGCGCAACAAACGCACCCUAAUUGGACUGUGGGAGUCAUUGCUAUGACACAGUUGGGGGAAGUUUAAAGCCAGUUAUUAACAACUAUCAAGUCUCUGCUCGCAUGUGAUGUGCAGUAGCCUAAGAAACAUAUAUUUGGGUGGGGAACAUCUAUUUAGUUGUCCCUGUCUUACAUUCAUGCGAGGCUGUAGGACAGAAGAUGUGAAACAAAUUUUAGCUUCAGCAAGUGGGACUAUCCUAUCAUACUUGACAAUCUAAAGUUUCCUAUUUAUAUUUGAAAUUACGUUGAUGCCCAUGUACAAAUACGCGUCUCGACAUAUGUGUACACGUCUACAUGCACAUUUUUUUGGGAUUGAAUAAUUAUGUAUUUGUUACAAAACCUGAUGUUAUCUUGUCUGGUUGUUUUAUUAGGAUAUUGAUCUUUUCACUUUGUGGGCUGAGGAGACACUAAUUGAAGACAAUUUGGUUUUGGACAUUCUUUUCCCUGCUUAUUAUGAGUCAUUUUGUACUUGUAAUGGUGAAAGGUGGAAAACUUUGUGCGUGCUCUAUAAGGUAUUUUGUUAUCUUCGUCACAGAAUUCAUUUAUGAAGUACUCUCUUAUCCAGUCCAAGCUCAAUACAUUUUUCCUGCAGGGAAUUUUAUCUGGGUCUUAUAACUUUGAAAAGCUGGCAGUAUCAACUGAAGCACUACGUUCUUCUUAUCAAACAAAAUUCCAGCUGCUUCUAAUCCUUAUAGAAACCCUGGACCUGGAAAGUCUUCUCCAGAUGGUUCAUGAUGCAAUCCCUUUCAGGUUCUUAGCUAGUUAGGAUGCAUCUAUGUAUUUACUCUGCAAGUCAUGAUCUAGUGACAGUAAAUAUCUUUGGUCAAAUUGUUGAUUUUUGCAUUAAAUAUCUAAAUUGUGGAGUUCACAUUUGUUGCAAUAUUUUUUGGCUUAUGUCAUUACUCAAUGAAGAUUCCUUUUGGCGGAGACCAAGGGAUGAACUGUCCUGAGGUGGAAUCCACUUGUAAGGCAGACGCCCCAUGCCUUUAGUUUGCCUCAUCUUUAAGACAUGGUGUUGUAAUUUAGACAGGACCGAGUUAAAAUAACAAAGGUGGAUUUAAGUAUUGGUUUCUAUCGGGUCAGAAAAUUCUGCUAACCAUGAAAACCAAGCACAUACGAUUUUGUUCUUUUAUUAUUAUUUUUUUCAUGUGAAUGCAAUAUGAUUGAUACUUUUAUAUAACUAAGAAUCACUGACCCAUUACAAGGUCGAACGUUUCCAUACCCAAACUACAGAAUCCUGAUUUGAGUGAACCUUCACUACUAUCUGAUCUAUAAGCAUGCUUUUAGCCAAGCCUGUGAUGCUACUGUGACUGGGAAUUCAGGACAAUCUAUAUUUUUAGGUUUGCAAUCGGAGGACCAUAGGAUAAUCUUAUUUGCAAUUUUAAAAUGCCAUGAAGGCAACUAUGGAUAUAGAUAAGCUAAAUUGUGCUGGGUAACUUUCUUUUUAUUUAUUAAAAUGCAAACUGUUAAGCUUCAUCAGUAUCAUUCUAAUCAAUGGUUGAUUCCGUAGGGCUUAUAUGCUAUUGUUGGCUCUGUUCUUUGUGUCCAUUAUUAAAAUUUCCAGUUUAUACAUCCUUUAACUAUAUCCUUUCUUAUUUUCUUUUUCUAAAUGUUAGAACACUUGUGUUAUUCCUCAGGCAGGGCACAUUUGUUUUUACUUUGGCUGAUGUCCAAGAGAUGGAAGCGAUAAUUUCAACAUUCAAUGCUUUUGAAACAAAAGAAGCAGGUCCAUUAAUUCUAGCCUGGGCUGUGUUUCUUUGUCUGAUUUCGUCACUUCCAGAUAGUGAAGAGAGCAAUGUACUAAUGGUAUGUGGUUCUGUGCAUAUGUUGUCUCUGAUUCCAGUCUGCAUGAAUAAUACAAAUAAUUAAUGUGUUUAGUUUAGUUUUAUUUUAUUUUAUUUUCCAGGAGAUUGAUCAUGUUGGUUAUGUUCGUCAAGCAUUCGAGGCUGCAUUGUUGAAUUAUUGUGUUGAAAUCCUUCAAAGUGAUGUAUUGAAGGAACCAGAUGUAAGUUAUUCUCAAUUUGUAAGUGUAUGUGUUUAGAGUGAUCAGUUUCUAGGGGUGCCCCAUAUGUUCAAGUUUUCUGCUUGGUUUUUUCGUCUCUUGGGAUCCAUCUUGAGGUGUUAACGAGUUUUGCAUCUCUUCCCUCAGUCUUUUCAUUUCCUAAAGAGUGAUCAUUUUUGUGUUUUGUUUUCUUUAGGGGCCUGCUGACGGCUACCGUAGUGUGUUGAGAACUUUUGUAUCUGCAUUUAUUGCCUCUUAUGCGAUCAGUCUUCAGGUAAAUGCAUAAUGGACCUCUGCUAAAACCUUGUUAGCAUUUUUUUGGAUGUAUUUCUUAUUUCUUCUGUCCUUGUUUUGUGCAGCUGGAAGAUAAAUCUCUGAAGUUAAUACUGGAUAUUCUUUGCAAAAUUUAUCAGGGAGAGGUUUGGACACUUGUUAUAUUUCAGCAUCUGUGACUUCAAUAUAAAUAUUUUAUAAUUAUAAAGUUCAAAUUGUGAUUUUUGUUUGAAUAGUGUAAUUGUUACUCAAUUCUAAAUGGCAGUUCUUCUGAAUUUUGCAGGAGUCACUUUGUAUCCAGUUUUGGGAUCGUGAAAGUUUUAUUGAUGGCCCUAUCCGGUCUCUUCUUUGCAACUUAGAGGGUGAAUUUCCUUUCAGGACUGUGGAACUAGUUCGCCUUUUAUCAUCACUUUGUGAAGGAACUUGGCCUGCAGAAUGUGUGUGAGUAGAAUUAUUUGGCAUGGUCGUUCAAAUUCUGGUUUUUGAUAAACAAAAUGAGUGUAGACCUGAUCACUAUAUGGGUGUAGGGUUAAACUUUAAUUUGGUUAUCGAAAUCCUCAUUCGGGAAGUAUUUGCUUUAUUAGUUGAACUUGAUAAUACUAAGAAUUUUUGUAACAAUUAAUUAUAUUCGUUUAUCUAAACAAUUAAUUAUUAUGUUGUUCUCAUUGUUGUGUAAUCAUCCUGUCAACAGGUAUAACUUUUUGGAUAAGUCUCUGGGUAUAUCAUCCCUGGUUGAGAUUAAUGGCUCCUUUGGGGAGGACAGGUCUCAAAUUGUGGAGACGCACCUCCCGUUGCAUGUUCCUGGAUUUGAAGGUCUGGUCAUUCCCAGUAAAACCUGUGGACAUAUUUUAAGAUUAGUUAGUGGAAAUACCGCUCUUGUACGAUGGGAGGUAAAUGGCCAAUUACUUCAACUAAUAUUGGUAAUUGCUUUGUAUUGGUGAAUUUUGUAUGUUCUUGAGAAAUAUCACUAGACUUUCAACUGCUUGUAAGUGCACAGGUAUUAGGUUAUACUUUAAAGAGCAUUUUCCAAUGUUAGUGCAUUUAUCUCUGUGUUGUUUUUCUCCUUCCUCUUCAAAGUUUUGUGAAAUACUCUUUCAAGUGUAGUUCGAAAAUUGAAUAGGCAUUUUCAGGAAUUAUCAUGUGAAAAGUUCUUACCUAUCCUCAAAGGGUUAAAUUUUGUCUUUUUUAUGUCCCAAUUAUACACACUACACGUGCGGCAUCAAAAUUUUAUUUCCUAAAUUAUCUUCCUUCAAUAUCGUUUUUUAUUUCAUCUUCCUUCACUAUCUACAUCAUUAGCAGUGACAAGAUUUUUUCUGAGAUAAUAGGUUACAUGUAGUCUUACUUAUUGGGUUGUGAAACAGUAUAUUCAAGGAGAGUAAUAGAAGAUAUCCAAUUCUAUUUUCAAUUUGGUUGCUGUUUCAUGCUAAUUCAUGCCUAUUUUGUACAGUAUACACAAUCUGGGGUGCUAGUAUUGCUCAUGCACCUGUCUCAGGAGCUGUAUUUUGACAGAAAUGACAAGGCUCUUCUUAUUCUUGACCUAUUUAGCUGGAUGGUUACCUUUAACACAGUAUUGACACACCCCGAUCCUAGAAUCAAGGCGUGCUGGCCGUCAUGUGAGCGUGACGUAACCAAAAGUGCAAUGCAGAAGCAAAAGAUAUGAGAAAUACGAAGGAAUAAAAAACCAACUACUAGCAAUAAUAUCCAACUAACAUGCUAGAGUGAGUUUAAGUGUGCAGUACACAAGUUCAGAGCAUAACUACUAGGUGCAGUCAAGUAGGACUAUAAUUAAAUUACAACACCCGCAAGUGAGUCCUACAUGCAGGAAGUCUGUCAGAACGCCGAAGAAAACCUCGUGAGCCACCAACUGCUAACUAGAACCUGGAGGAGCGCAAAACAAAAUUGAGUGGGUCAGUAAAACCAAAGCUUUUCGAAAACAUUUCCUCAAAACAAUUCUAACCCCUCACUGUAAAACCUGUAUACUUUCCCAGAAAAUAACAUAAUAGUAUAUAAAUCCUCAUAUAUCUCAAAUCAUCAAUCUUUAUCAAAUCCAGAAAAUAUGCUAUGCUAUAAAUGUCAAUAAUAGAAUAUGGAUGCAUCGAUAUAACAGAUGACAUAAUGAAUCAAUCGAAGACCCUGCAGUUGGUCUUGUACGGUUAAUUCCAUAGCUCAUUAUCCCAAACCAACCGGAGUCACCACGGUGACCUGUACGGCACUACUCUGCACAUAAAUCGGAACUACCUGAAGUAGUCUGUACGACAAGAAUGGUGUACUAAUACGCUCUAGUGCUUCUCUCAUCAACCAUCUGCGUGCAUAAUCUAAGAUCACCUAUUAGUCGGAACCACCUCUAGUGAUCUAUACGACUAGCAUGUUGGAACCCUCCCAUGGUCUGUACGACAUGCACCUACUUGGAUCCAAGGUGAGCGUGCGGUGCGGUGAAUAAUAUAAGCACUAACACCAGGGGUGCAGGUUAUGAGCUCUCAACACAAUUUACAUCAUCAAUGAUUCACAUGAAUAACAUAAAACUCACCUGAUACUUACCUGUGCGUCCACAACACCAAUUCACAUAUAUAUAUAUAUGCAUCAAUUAUCAAUUCAUAUAUUUCAUAAUAUGCAUGCAUGGCAUUUUAAAACGUAUUUUCAUUUAAACUCAAUUUCUGGGAAAAAUAUCAAUAGUAUAUAGGUAUAAACAGAAAUACUGCCCACUCACUAAUAAGUCGAAGGGUCGUAACCCCCGUGACGUCCCUGGAUGCGCUCAUCCUCGGGAUAGGUAUCACCUAUAUGCGAAACAACUAUAAAAAUGUUAAUUAAAGCACAUAACCGACAAUUCGUAAUAACUUCUCAUACGGUGCUCAAUUUGGAUAUAUGAAUACCACAGUGACCUACUCGACGUCACGGAUGUCGAGGUAUUUUUAGAAAAAAAUUAUAAGGCUGCACGCGCCCCCACGCGCCGGCAUGGGCACGAGUCUACGCGUCCCCACGCACGUCUCCUACCUUGGGCUCACCGGACUGGUUUUUCCGGUGGCCGGAAAACUGGAGAUUUUUCAAUCUCCUUGUUCUCUGUCAUUUCUCAACCAUUUUUCACGUAUUUUAUGUCAAAAUGAUGCCCUAAGCAUGUAGAUUCAUGUUACACUACUUUAAGGCUCUAAAAACUACGAAAUCUCACCGGAAAAAUUCCAAGAAAACCGGCCAACUUUGAACUCAACAAUCCCGACUUCCAAAACCUUCAAACUAAGUACUCCGAGUUUCCUUAGGACCUCACUAAGCUCACUAUAAGUUUAGAAUUCCUUGAAAAUCAACACAUCACAAAUGCAUGAACAGUACUCAAAUCGGACCUCGGGUUUUCAACGUGAUUUCGAGGGUUCUACGUUCUGGUACCAUUCAACUCAGGAGGUCGAAAGGAUGAAGAACCUUACCUUUUUGGCGUCGAUCCGCGAUGUUUUGAGGGUUUUGUGCUUUGGUCGGUACAGUUCGAAAGGGAGAGAGUGAGACUGAAACGGAGAGGAGAGAGAGAGAGCACGGGGGAAAGGAGAGGGUUGUCUCGUGUGUGUGUUGUGUGGUCCACUCAAAAACAAAUCACUACUUCAUUCCCUAACCACACAAAUUUACAACCCAAAUUUUAAUCUAACUUAAAAAAAAUUCCAAAAGCUUAUGGAAUAUGUGUAAUUAGUCCAAAUAAUAUGUCACACACACAUACCUUAGUAACCGUCAAGGGUAAUCCUGUCAUUUCACGUUCUCGAUAAAUAAAAUCCCGGGACGGGCUGCGACAAUCUUCCCCCCUUAUAGAAUUUCGUCCUCGAAAUUCAUGCAACCAAACAAGCCACUUAAUACUCAUAAAACAAUCUAGGAUACAUCUCUCUCAUUCGAUCUUCCGUCUCCCAAGUAGCUUCUUCUACUAAGUGGUUCCUCCACAAUACUUUUACCAAGCUCACUGUCUUAUUCCUUAGAACCUUGUCUUUCCAAUCCAAGAUAGUCACUGGUUCUUCAUCAUACGUCAAAUCCGGAUUAAUCUCCAAAGGUUGAAGAGGAAUCACAUGUGAAGGAUCUGAAACAUAAUGUCGAAGCAUCGAGACAUGAAACACAUUAUGUACCUUAGAUAACUCCAGAGGCAACUCCAAUAUGUAAGCAACUUCACCAAUCCUCUCAGUGAUCUCAUAAGGUCCUAUGUACCUAGGACUUAGUUUGCCUCUCUUUCCAAACCGCACUACACCUCUCCAAGGUGAUAAUUUCAAGAAUACCAAAUUACCCACAUCAUAAACUCGAUCAGUAGCAUGUCUAUAUGCUAAACUCUUUUGUCGAUCUUGGGCCGCUUUCAGGUUGGACUUAAUCACCUGAACAUUUUGAGUAGUCUCAUCCACAAUCUCUGGGCCCUCUAGCACUCUUUCACCAACCUCUGACCAACACAAUGGCGUGCGACAAGCUCUACCAUAAAGUGCCUCAAAUGGUGACAUACCAAUGCUCGAAUGAAAACUAUUAUUGUAGGCAAAUUCCAUCAAGUCUAGGCGAUCAUGCCAAGAAUCACCAAACUGUAACACUGAAGAUCUCAACAUAUCCUCCAACGUCUGAAUAGUCCUCUCUGAUUGUCCAUCGGUUUGAGGAUGAUAAGCAGUGCUGUAAAGCAGUUUCGUACCAAGAGCUUCCUAAAAAGCUACCCAAAACUUAGAAGUAAAUCUUGGAUCUCGAUCAGAUAUAAUAUUCACUGGAACUCCGUGGUACUUCACAAUCUUCGUGAUGAACAACUUAGCCAAUUUAUUCAGAGGAUACUUUUCCCUCACAGGAAUGAAGUGUGCUGACUUAGUAAGCCGAUCUACAAUCACCCAAACACCUUCAAAUCCAUUUCGUGUACGCGGAAACUUAUACACAAAAUCCAUAGUUAUAUUUUCCCAUUUCCACUGAGGAACGGGAAGUGGUUGCAUCCAACCAAAAGGCUUCUUUCUUUUAGCUUUGACUUGCUGACAAACAAUACACCUACUUACAUACUCUGCAAUUUCCCUCUUCAUACCCGGCCAAUAAUAAAUAGUCGAAUGGUAUGGUACAUCUUAGUUCCUCCUGGAUGCAUCGCAUAAGCCGAACAAUGUGCUUCAUCCAAAAUUUCCUUCUUUAAUUCCUCAUUAUUCGGCACAUACAUUCUGUUCUCCUGCAUAAGCAUGCCAUCUGAUUCUCGAAUCCUGAGGUCUUUCUUUUUCCCUUCAUUUCUUAAUUGAAUCAUUUCUUAGAUCUCUUCAUCAACCAUUUGAGCUUCAAGUACACGAUUAACCGAGACUGGCCUGACUUGGAAACUAGCAAGAAAAGCUUCUCUUUGUUCUUCUAACUCCAACCUUACUCCAGUAGCUCUCAAAUCUGCAAGAAGAGGAACAUGACAAGCAUACAAAGCAUUGAGUCGACCUUGAGGUUUCCUACUCAGUGCAUCAGCUACCACAUUUGCACGACCCGGAUGAUACUCAAUAGUGCAGUCAUAAUCACUUAAUAACUCCAUCCACCUUCGUUGACGAAGAUUAAGAUCAUGCUGAGUGAAAAGAUACUGAAGACUCUUAUGAUCUGUGAAGAUCUUACACUUCUCACCAUAGAGAUAAUGCCUCCAAAUCUUCAAAGCAAAAACAAUGGCUGCCAACUCAAGAUCGUGAGUAGGAUAAUUCCUUUCAUGAAUCUUAAACUGUCGAGAAGCAUAGGCAAUCACUCUAUUAUGCUGCAUCAAAACACAUCCCAAACCAUUCAAAGAAGCAUCACUGUAAAUCUCAAAGUUACUGUUAUCAUCAGGAAGUACCAAUACUGGAGCAUGAGUGAGGCAAUAUUUCACCUGCUGGAAACUUUGCUCACAAUUCUCAUCCCAAUCAAACUUAACAUCCUUCCUGGUUAACUUCGUUAGUGACAAAGCAAUCAUAGAAAAAUCUUGAACAAACCAUCGAUAAUAACCUGCUAGACCCAGAAAACUCCGUACCUCAGUGACGGUUCGUGGUUGUUCCCAAUUCUCCACUGCUGCUAUCUUUUGAGGAUCUACUUGAAUUCCUUGUGCCGAUACUACAUGCCCAAAAAAUACCACUUGAUUCAACCAAAACUAACAUUUACUAAACUUGGCAUACAACUGAUGCUCCCUCAAUUUCUUUAAUACCAAGUUAAGAUGUCGAAUAUGAUCUGCUUUAGACUUAGAGUAUACCAGAAUAUCAUCGAUAAAAACAAUAACAAACCUAUUAAGAUAUUGCUGGAAUACCUCAUUCAUUAGCCUCAUGAAAGCUGCAGGUGCAUUAGUCAAUCCAAAUGGCAUCACCAAAAACUCAUAAUGUCCAUAACGGGUUCUGAAAGUCGUCUUAGGUACAUCAACAUCUUUAAUCUUCAACUGAUAAUAACCAGAUCUCAAAUCAAUCUUAGAGAACACACAUGCACCUUUAAGCUGAUCAAACAAAUCAUUGAUACGAGGCAAGGGAUAACGGUUUUUAAUCGUUACCCGAUUCAAUUGCCUGUAAUCAAUACAUAAUCUCAAAGUUCCAUCUUUCUUUCUCACAAACAACACUGGAGCUCCCCAAGGUGAAGUACUAGGUUGAAUGAAACCUUUAUCAGUUAAUUCCUGUAACUGAAUUUUCAACUCUCUCAAUUCAGCUGGAGCCAUUCUAUAUGGAGUCAAAGAUAUAGGAUCCGUACCUGGAAGCAAAUCAAUAGAAAACUCCACAUCUCUAUCUGGCGGCAAUCCAGGCAAAUCAUCUGGGAACACAUCAGGAUAGUGCCUGACUACUCCAACUUCCUCCACACUGCUAGGAACAACAUCAUUUAACACCACAUGUGCUAAGUAUCCUUGACAACCUUUCGAUAACUUCUUUGCUCUCAUGGCAGAGAUAACACCAUGUCUCACCCCACUGCUUUCACCUACAAAAGUAACCUCUAGUAAUCCAGGACGAUGAAAAGUAACAGAUUUCCCGUAACAAUCUAUAUGGGCACGAUUAUAAUGCAACCAAUCUGCCCCUAAAAUCACAUCAAAAUCCACAAUAUCUAACGGGAUAAGAUUAGCUGGCAUAACUACACCAUCUACCAUCACUGGACACCCUGGGUAAACACUAUCAACGUAACAUUUGUCCCCUCUAGGCAUAGCAAACUCUAAAUCAAAUCCUAGAGGUGUAGGGUGAGGUUGAGUCAUUUGAGCAAACGUAUGAGAAAUCACAGAAUGUGUAGCACCACAAUCAAUCAAAACUCUAGCAAAGUGACCAAGGAUAUUUAACAUACCCAUAAUCAAGUCCGGAUGAUUCUGAGCAUCUUGCAGUGAGAUGUGAUUAACACGUCCCUGAGCUUACUGUCGUCCACCACGACCUUUGUUGCCUUGGUUACCUCGCCCCUGAGAAGUAUGUCCCUGUCCUGACUGGCUAGACUGCCUAGGCGGUCCUGCGCUGCUAGUAGCAACCUCUCCCUGUCGGGGCUGACCUCCCUGAUGCCACUGAGAUCCACUAGUUGGCAUGGAAGAAUAAGAAGUAUAACCUCCAGGGUCUUGGGAAUACCCAGUCUGAGAAUAAGGAUCCUGGGAAUACUGAUACUGUCCGGGAGCAUAGGGAGCAAUAUCACCCUGGUAGUGGUAAGCCCCACCACGACCCGUCUGACCAUAACUGCCUGAUCCAAAGUUCUGCUGAAUCGGCGCUGGAGGUGGCAUAGUAGACUGCUGAGAUCUCUGCUGACUUUGGGGACACUGGGCAACCCUAUGACCCAUAUGUCCACAAGUGUAGCAAGCACCACCACUUCUCCUACACUCUCCAUGAUGUCUGAAAUUACAACGGCGGCACAACGGAGCACCAGAACCACCAGUACCACCAAAAUCUCUCUGUCUCUGAAACCUGGGUCCACCAGCAAAUCUUCCACUUCUCCUCGGGCCUGUGACACUAAAUCCUCCACUGGAAGAACUCGAGCUCGCUCCACUUCUCUUGAAAUUAUGUGUCUUACGGGGUCCCUGAGUGGAGAUACCUUUACCCCUAUCCUCUUUCUUCUGAUUAGCAUUCUUAUCUUCAUCAUCCUCACUGUUACUAGGAAGGUUGUCGGAAUCCUCCAUCCGAACCAAAAUCUCAGAAAACUCAUGAUAAUCGGUGCAAGGAAGUGCACUAGCAAAAGUCCGCCAUUUCUUUUUAGUUCCCAGCUUAAAACGGCGAAGCAUCUUUGCCUGAUUACUAGCUGUAUCAGGAUCAUAACGAGACAAAUCGGUAAAUUUCCUGUAAUACUCAUGCGCCGACAUAUCCUUUUGCUUCAGAUGAGUAAACUCCUGCUUCUUACGAUCAAUGUACUCCGGAGGAACAAAUCUUUUCAUAAAAUGCUCUUUGAAUACUUCCCAGUCAGCUGCCAUCUCAGGUGACAUAAACUUAGUCUGAUUAACCCACCAAGUUGCUGGCUCUCGUCCUAAAAAUCAAGUAGUGGUCUCCACCCAUCUAUUAGCAGGAAUAUUCCCUUGACUCUGCAUCACCUGGAAAGUCUUCUCAAUAUGGUCUAACCACUUUUCUGCCCCUUUAUGACCCUCAUUACCCAUGAAACGGUCCAAUUUCAUGUUGUACAUAGUCUCCAGGGGUGUUCUCUAAGGAGGAGGAGGAGGAGGAUGGAUUGCAUUCUGGAAGGCAUGGGCCAUCGCUUCCCCUAAUUGAGUUAUAUCAGGGAAAUUAGACUCAGCAGCACGACGUGCUUACCUACGAGGCUGCAUAGUUCUGACAGAAAACACCAAAAGAUCAUUAGAACAUUAACAAUUUAUACAGGACUGCAACCUAGGCUCUGAUACCAAACUGACACACCCCGAUCCUAGAAUCAAGGCGUGCUGGCCGUCACGUGAGCGUGACGUAACCAAAAGUGCGAUGCGGAAACAAAAGAUAUGAGAAAUACGAAGGAAUAAAAAACCAACUACUAGCAAUAAUAUCCAACUAACAUGCUAGAGUGAGUUUAAGUGUGCAGUACACAAGUUCAGAGCAUAAAUACUAGGUGCAGUCAAGUAGGACUAUAAUUAAAUUACAACACCCGCAGGUGAGUCCUACAUGCAGAAAGUCUGUCAGAACGCCGAAGAAAACCUCGUGAGCCACCAACUGCUAACUAGAACCUGGAGGGGCGCAAAACAAAAUUGAGUGGGUCAGUAAAACCAAGGCUUUUCGAAAACAUUUCCUCAAAACAAUUCUAACCCCUCACUGUAAAACCUGUAUACUUUCCCAGAAAAUAACAUAAUAGUAUAUAAAUCCUCAUAUAUCUCAAAUCAUCAAUCUUUAUCAAAUCCAGAAAAUAUGCCAUGCUAUAAAUGUCAAUAAUAGAAUAUGGAUGCAUCGAUAUCACAGAUGACAUAAUGAAUCAACCGGAGACCCUGCAGUUGGUCCUGUACGGUUAAUUCCAUAGCUCAUUAUCCCAAACCAACCGGAGUCACCACGGUGACCUAUACGGCACUACUUUGCACAUAAAUCGGAACUACCUGAAGUAGUCUGUACGACAAGAAUGGUGUACUAAUACGCUCUAGUGCUACUCUCAUCAAUCAUCUGCGUGCAUAAUCUAAGAUCACCUACCAGUCGGAACCACCUCUAGUGAUCUAUACGACUAGCAUGUCGGAACCCUUUCAUGGUCUGUACGACAUGCUCCUACUUGGAUCCAAGGUGAGCAUGCGGUGCGGUGAAUAAUAUAAGCACUAACACCAAAGGUGCAGGUUAUGAGCUCUCAACACGAUUCACAUCAUCAAUGAUUCACAUGAAUAACAUAAAACUCACCUGAUACUUACCUGUGCGUCCACAACACCAAUUCACACACACACACACAUAUAUAUAUAUAUAUAUAUAUAUAUGCAUCAAUUAUCAAUUCAUAUAUUUCAUAAUAUGCAUGCAUGGCAUUUUAAAACGUAUUUUCAUUUAAACUCAAUUUCUGGGAAAAAUAUCAAUAGUAUAUAGGUAUAAACAGAAAUAUUGCCCACUCACUGAUAAGUCGAAGGGUCAUAACCCCCGUGACGUCCCUGGAUGCGCUCGUCCUCGGGAUAGGUAUCACCUAUAUGCGAAACAACUAUAAAAACGUUAAUUAAAGCACAUAACCGACAAUUCGUAAUAACUUCUCAUACCGUGCUCAAUUUGGGUAUAUGAAUAUACCACAGUGACCUACUCGACGUCACGAACGUCGAGGUAUUUUUAGAAAAAAAUUCUGAGGCUGCACACGCCCCCACGCGCCUGCAUGGGCACGGGUCUACGCGCCCCCACGCGCGUCUCCUACCUUGGGCUCGCCGGACUGGUUUUUUCGGUGGCCGGAAAUCUGGAGAUUUUUCAAUCUCCUUGUUUUCCGCCAUUUCUCAACAAAUUUUCACGUAUUUUAUAUCAAAAUGAAGCCCUAAGCAUGUAGAUUCACGUUACACUACUUUAAGGCUCUAAAAACUAUGAAAUCUCAUCGGAGAAAUUCCAAGAAAACCGGCCAGCUUCGAACUCAACGAUCCCGACGUCCAAAACCUUCAAACUAAGUACUCCGAGCUUCCUUAGGACCUCACUAAGCUCACUAUAAGCUUAGAAUUCCCUGAAAAUCAACACAUCACGAAUGCAUGAACAGUACUCAAAUCGGACCUCGGGUUUUCAACGUGAUUUCGAGGGUUCUACGUUCUAAAAAUGGUACCAUUCAACUCAGGAGGUCGAAAGGAUGAAGAACCUUACCUUUUUGGCAUCGAUCCGCGACGUUUUGAGGGUUUUGUGCUUUGGUCCGUACAGUUCGAGAGGGAGAGAGUGAGACUGAAACGGAGAGGAGAGAGAGAGAGCACGGGGGAAAGGAGAGGGUUGUCCCGUGUGUGUGUUGUGUGGUCCACUCAAAAACAAAUCACUACUUCAUUCCCUAACCACACAAAUUUACAACCCAAAUUUUAAUCUAACUUAAAUAAUUUUCCAAAAGCUUAUGGAAUAUGUGUAAUUAGUCCAAUUAAUAGGUCACACACACAUACCUUAGUAACCAUCAAGGGUAAUCCCGUCAUUUCACGUUCUCGAUAAAUAAAAUCCCGGGACGGGCUGUGACAGUAUGGUUUUCAUCAUUAAUUGCUGGAGUCUUUAUGGUUUUCAUCCUUUUUUAGCAUUUAUUCGAUUUGGCAUAUGCUAAUUGGCUGAGGCAUACACUUUUCGUUAAGGUUUACGACUUUUGGGAUAAAAUGACACUUUAAAACAAAAUAAAACAUGCCCAAAAAGACAUAGUUUAAGGUACUAACAGUAAAAGGUUCAGAAACCGCCUUUUUACUCCAAUAACUUGGUGGUACUUUGCAUGGUGAUCGUUGUUAUGAUGACGAAGAGGACUAGAAUGAGUGAAUUGGAUUUUCCCUUAUUGGAAUUGCCUUUUGAUUAUGCUUGUUUGGAUUUCCUAUUCAAGUUUGAUGGUCUGGUUGAAUUAUAUGUUUAAUGGUUGAAUGACAGUUGGUAAUUUUUUUUUAUAUUUUUGUUAUUAUAGUUCAAGUUUUCAAAGGGUUAUGCCUCAACGUGUCAAGGCUAAGGCCUUGUCAAUGCCUUCGCAUUUUAAAGCAUUUGUUAAUAAUCUUGAUUAAGCUGUUUUAAACAAAUGUGGAUGCAGUCAGAAUAUUGAAAUAGUUUUCUCUUGGGUUGCCAUAAAUAUGAUAACAUUUUAUCAGCCUCCACUGUUAAAACACCAACUUCUGAAUUCUUGUGCUGUUUAGAGUGGACAGAGAAUAGUUUAGCUGUAAUUGAUCCUAACCUUGCCUUGUUUCCUUCCCCUCUCCCCUCUCCUCUCUUAAUUUCUUACCAUCUCUGUAACCAUCUCUACUUUACCAAGUUUUUAAUAUUGGUAUUUUAUUUAGGCUGUAUGUUUUGCUCUGAUGGACAUUGGGAACUCAUCACAUUUCCAAUCAACGGGCAUGAAUGGGCAGACAGAAAGUAAUAUGCGGUAAUUAAGCAACCUUUUUGUUUGUGCUUGUGUGUUUCCUCUUUCUUGCCUAUAUUAUCAUGUCUUGUAAUAGGCAAUUCUUGUUUUACCAUCCAGGUUGGUUGAGGUCAUUUGCACUUUGGUCAGAAAAUUAUCUCCUACUUCGGACGGUGCCGCUCUGAUGUCCGUGGGUAUAAAUAUCUUGGCAAAGAUGUUAAGAUGGUAACUUUAUCCCCUAUUGUCUUUUGAGUUCUUCUGUAUCUGUGUGUCUUUUUAAUCAGGGUAUUAUGAAAUUAAGUUUUGAAAGUUUCAAAGUCUUUAUGCUAUUAUUUAAAGCCUUCAUUUCGUAAAAUUAUAGCAAUAAGAAAAACUGAAAGAACUAGGGAUAUGAUGGGGACUUGUAGCUCCAGUGGUACAGAGCCGUUAACUCCACACCCAAGUUCCAAUCCAAACCUCCUCCUCCCCCUUUGAUAUCCUCUCCACCAGGAGGAAAUGCAGAUGACACACAGGAAUGCAUUUUCUACUAAAACAAAAACAUUAAUAUUUAUUGAUAUGAUGAAAGAAUAAUACACUGAACAAGUUGAUAGUCCAUUGUAUGCAAACAAUUCUAAAUAUUUAAAAUUUUAAGUUAAUCUCAAUAUAAAUUUUUAGCCUUGUCGCAUGCAAUUGAUUAACUCCGCCGUGUAAGUUUAUCUUACAUUGCCGGUCCCAAGCCCGGAUAAAGGAGGAGGGGGAGGGCGUCAGGUAGUCGACAGCCGGCACUCCAUGAUUACGUCGAAUCCUUAUGAAAAUGAAUCCAGAACAAAAUCGCGCUAAAGCUAGGGCGUCACCCGUAAGUGGCGCGCUGUGUGGCCCGAACACAGUGAUAAGUGAGCAAGGGUCGCUGUAUCUCCAUCGGCACCCGGAUGCAGUGUUAAAUGAACAAGGGGGCUAUAGAAACUUCUUUUCGAACGACUCCACUCAAAGUUGUUUGGGAGCAUAUGCUCCUAUCAACUUUACACGGGACACACAAAAGAAGUACUUUGAUCCUAUUAGACGGGGAAGGGUGAAGAAGCUAGGACAGAAGGGUAGAGUUCAAGAGAGCAAAAUGCGUUUAGGAACGUGGAAUAUAGGAACCUUGACGGGAAAAUCUAUGGAAGUAGUAGAAGUUAUGGUGAGGAGAAGGAUAAAUAUUAUGUGCCUACAAGAAACUAAGUGGGUUGGGCGUAAGGCAAAGGAUCUAGAAAACUCAGGGUUUAAACUAUGGUAUUCGGGCACAAAUAGAACGAGAAACGGUGUUGGCAUCAUCGUGGACAAGACCUUGACACAAGAUGUUGUAGAUGUCAAGAGGGUAGGAGAUAGAAUCAUGGCAAUCAAGAUUGUAAUAGGACAAGAACUUAUCAAUGUGAUUAGUGCGUACGCACCUCAAGUAGGGUUGGAUACGAGUUCGAAUGAGAAAUUUUGGGAAGACCUUGGAGACUUGGUGCAAGGAAUUGCUCAGACGGAGAAGUUAUUUAUAGGAGGAGAUUUAAAUGGACACGUGGGCAGGGAGACAGGCAACUAUGGAGGUUUUCAUGGUGGCCAUGGUUUUGGGGAGAGAAACGAGGAUGGGGAAGCUAUCUUGGAAUUUGCAAUGGCAUAUGAUCUCUUCUUAGCCAACACCUUCUUUAAGAAGAGAGAAGAACAUGUGAUCACCUACAAGAGUGGGUCGUCAAAAACACAAAUAGAUUUUCUUCUAAUGAGGAAAGGGGAUCGUAUAACUUGUAAGGAUUGCAAAGUUAUACCAGGAGAGAGCGUGGCUAAUCAACAUCGCUUGUUGGUGAUGGAUGUACAUAUCAAAAGAGUGAGAAAAAAGAACAAGACUUGGAAGUGCUCAAGGACUAGAUGGUGGAAUCUAAAAGAAGAAAAACAAGCCAUUUUCAAAGAGAAAGUAAUCACCCAGUGUGUGUGGGAUAGAGAGGGGGAAGCUAACCAAAUGUGGGAUUCCAUGGCUAGUUGUAUCCGAAAAGUAGCAAAAGAGGUAUUAGGAGAGUCCAAGGGCUUUACCCCACACCAAAAGGAAUCUUGGUGGUGGAAUGAGGAGGUACAAACAAAGGUGAAGGCUAAGAAGGAAUGUUGUAAAGCCUUAUACAAGGAUAGGACCGAUGAAAAUGGUGAAAGGUAUAGAAAAGCGAAGCAAGAGGCGAAGAAAGCUGUGAGAGAAGCUAAGUUAGCGGCUUAUGACGAUAUGUAUAAGCGACUAGAUACCAAAGAAUGAGAGUUGGAUAUCUAUAAACUAGCUAGAGCAAGGGAAAAGAAGACAAGGGACCUAAACCAAGUGAGGUGCAUCAAGGAUGAGGAUGGAAAGGUUCUUGCUACAGAGAACGCGGUUAAAGACAGAUGGAAAGGUUAUUUUCAUAAUCUUUUCAAUGAAGGACAUGAAAGGAGUGCUUCUUUACGGGAGUUGAGUAACUCAGAAGAGUGUAGAAACUACUCUUUUUAUCGUAGAAUCCGGAAGGAAGAAGUGGUUGUAGCUUUGAAGAAGAUGAAGCAUAGAAAAGCAGUAGGCCUAGACGAUAUACCAAUCGAAGUGUGGAAAGUUUUGGGAGAGACAGGUAUAACAUGGCUCACUGACCUUUUCAAUAGGAUUUUGAAAACGAAAAAGAUGCCAAAUGAGUGGCGAACGAGCACUUUGGUGCCUAUCUACAAGAAUAAGGGCGAUGUACAAAAUUGCAUGAACUAUAGGGGUAUUAAGCUAAUGAGUCAUACAAUGAAGCUCUGGGAGAGAGUCAUUGAGCAUAGAUUGAGGCAAGAGACACGGGUUUCGGACAACCAAUUCGGGUUCAUGCCAGGGCGCUCAACCAUGGAGGCAAUCUAUCUCUUACGAAGAUUGAUGGAAAGAUAUAGAGAUGGGAAAAGGAUUUACACAUGGUCUUUAUAGAUUUGGAAAAAGCAUAUGAUAGGGUCCCAAGAGACAUUCUUUGGAGGAUUUUAGAGAAGAAAGGAGUACGAGUAGCAUAUAUCCAAGCUAUACAGGAUAUGUAUGAAGGAGCAAAGACUGUCGUAAGAACUCAUGAAGGACAAACCAAAAGCUUUCCCAUAACUGUAGGAUUACAUCAAGGCUCAUCCUUAAGUCCUUACCUUUUUGCGUUGGUAAUGGAUGAGUUAACAGGACAUAUUCAAGAUGAUAUUCCUUGGUGUAUGCUUUUCGCAGACGAUAUAGUGUUGAUAGAUGAAACUCAGGAAGGGGUAAAUGCAAAGCUUAACCUUUGGAGAGAAGUGUUGGAAUCAAAAGGUCUUCGUCUAAGCCGAUCAAAGACAGAAUAUAUGGAGUGCAAGUUCAGUGCAAAUGGAGGCCAAAACGAGUUAGGGGUGAGGAUCGGAGAUCAAGAAAUAUCAAAGAGCGACCGUUUUCGUUACCUAGGAUCUAUCUUGCAAAAGAACGGAGAAUUAGAUGGAGAUCUCAACCAUAAAAUACAAGCUGGAUGGAUGAAGUGGAAGAGUGCAUCCGGCGUGUUGUGUGACCGCCGUAUGCCACUGAAGCUCAAGGGAAAAUUUUAUAGGAUGGCAAUAAGGCCGGCGAUUCUGUAUGGCACAGAAUGUUGGGCGGUGAAGCAUCAACACGUACACAAAAUGGGUGUAGCGGAGAUGAGGAUGCUUCGUUGGAUGUGUGGGCACACGAUAAAGGAUAAGAUUAGGAAUGAGGAUAUCCGGGGUAAAGUAGGAGUAGCCGAAAUUGAAGGAAAGAUGAGAGAAAAUCGGUUACGGUGGUUUGGACAUGUGCAAAGAAGGCCUACUGACACUCCGAUUAGAAGAUGCGACUAUGGGACAGAGGUUUAGGGCCGAAGGGGUAGAGGAAGACCUAGGAAAACUUUGGAAGAGACCUUAAGAAAAGACUUAGAGUACUUGGAUCUAACGGAGGACAUGACACAAGACAGAACAAAAUGGCGUUCUAAGAUUCAUAUAGCCGAUCCCACUCAGUGACUUGGAUUUUUCAAGUCUCCAACCGAGAAGUUUUCCUCACUCGGGAAAUUAAGGGAACACUACCUCAACCUACAUGCUCCACUCACAAAGCUUCAACAUACAAGCUUCAACAAAAGAAAAUUCAAAUAACUUAGCGAAGAAGGCUUUGGUGUAUUUAACACAAUACGUUGAAAUGAAGGAAAGCUUAUUUAUUGAUAUCCCCGAUAAGUUACAAAUAUGUACAUAUACUUGAGUCAAAAUAAACAAACAAGAGGGAGCCUUCACAAAGGUUGCUUAGGAGAAGUCUCAGCAGUCGGUAGAGCCCCAGAAAGAGAAGGCACCGGAGGGGGAUCAUUCGGAGCCUCAGUACUGGACAGAACCCUAGAAGGAGGAGGCAUCAGAGGUUGAUCAUUUGGAGCUUCAUUACGCGGUACAGCCCCAGAAGACGAAGGCAAUAAAUGUCUUUAGAACAAACCCACAAAUCUCUGAUGAUCAAGUAAAACCUGACCAUCAGAUUCCUUCAUCUGGUCAAGCUUCCUCUUCAUGUUUGUAGCAUAGUCAUGUGCGAGCCGGUGCAACUGUUUAUUCUCAUGCUUGAGUCAUCUAAUCUCUUGUUUGAGACUCAUCACUUCAGCCGCCAAUGAUUCAACUUGGCGGGUUCGAGCAAAUAGGCGUUGGGCCAUAUUAGACACAGAACCUGCACACUGAACACUAAGAGCCAGAGAAUCCUUAACAACCAACUCAUCAGACCGUUUGGAAAGUAGUCUGUUAUCUUUGGGAGUGAGAAGGUUCCUGGCCACUACCGCAGCGGUCAUAUCAUUCUUCAUCACGGAAUCCCCAACGGUAAGAGGACCAGUAGGGGAGACGAAGGAUGGGCGCCAUAUGUUGUCUGGAGAAGGCGGGGCUGCCUCUUCAACAAGGUUCAAGUCAAAACGACGGUCGGAGGGGCCAGACAUUUUCAAAGGUGUUGAAGAGAGAAGAGGUCGGACAAAUCAAGAUCUUAGAAGUGCAAGAAUGGAGCUUCUACUGGUGGAUAUUCAAGUGUGCUUUGGAACUUAAUGUCAGCCCCUAUAAAAAUCUGCACUCGACGAAGCUUCAGAAAUCGAAGAGGCGCCUGCUCAGAAAUCGAAGAGGCGUUUGCUUUCUCAAAAGUUGGGUUGCUCAGAGACCACGAGGGUCGAUCUCAGAAAUCGAAGAGGCGUUUGCUUUCUCAAAAGCUGGGCUGCUCAAAGACCACGAAGGCCGAUCUCAGAAAUCGAAGAGGCUUGGCUUGCUUUCUCAAAAGCUGGGCUGCUCAGAGACCACGAGGGCCGAUCUCAGAAAUCGAAGAGGCACCUACUUUUCCAGCCUUGUCAGCACCUGUCACACGUACACUCAGCUUUGCGGAAAUUAUGGGCAUUCUGUCGAAGAUUUCUGGCGAAGUAGAAAGCACUUGAAUCGUACUGUUCAAUCACCUACUUCCCACACGCAACAGUAGCUCAUGGGUACCACAUAUAACUUUGCCAAAGUUCUCUGACAAAGUUGAGACACGUGAAGCUUGCAGCUCUCACUACAUCGCUCUGACCAAGAAGGGUAAAAGAAUAGCAAAGAAACAACACUAACAAAGUUUAGACACAUAAAUUUUGAAGGUAUAGCUACCAUAUUAUUACCCACAAGGGUAAAGAAACAGUACCACUGCUGGAUAAUUGGAAAGUCCCGAUGUGUCAACCUCUGUGCUUCGUGGCAAGGUAGACUACCAAACAUGCCUAACCUUUACUCACAUUUGAGAAAACACUCCCAACAAGAUUGCUUGCUCCAAAAUCGAAGAGGCACCGCCCUCCGAAUCUCGAGAGCCAGACUCCCAACAUGAUUACUUUCUCAAAAAUCGAAGAAAGGGUAAAGGAACAGUACCACUGCUGGAUAAUUGGAAAGUCCCUGUGUGUCAACCUCUGUGCUUCGUGGCAAGGUAGACUAGCAAACAUGCCCAACCUUUACUCACAUUCGAGAAAACACCUCCAACAAGAUUGCUUGCUCCAAAAUCGAAGAGGCACCGCCCUCCGAAUCUUGAGAGCCAGACUCCUAACAUGAUUACUUUCUCAAAAAUCGAAGAGAGGGUAAAGGAACAGUACCACUGCUGGAUAAUUGGAAAGUCCCUGUGUGUCAACCUCUGUGCUUCGUGGCAAGGUAGACUAGCAAACAUGCCCAACCUUUACUCACAUUCGAGAAAACACUCCCAACAAGAUUGCUUGCUCCAAAAUCGAAGAGGCACCGCCCUCCGAAUCUCAAGAGCCAGACUCCCAACAUGAUUACUUUCUCAAAAAUCGAAGACACCGCUCUCCGAAUCUCGAGAGCCAGACCCCCAACAAGAUUGCUUUCUCAAAAAUCAAAGAGGCAUCGUUCUUCGAAUCUCGAGAGCCAGAUCCCCGACAGGAUUGCUUGUUCGAAAACCGAAGAGGCACCACUUUCCCAACUUCAAGAGCUGGAUCUCCUUGGAUAAAGCUUGUCUGUAAUCUUCACACGCAACAUCAGCUUUCCAGAUACCACAGACCACUUUUUCAAAGUGCUCUGACAAAGUUAACACUUGUGAAGCUGGCAGAUCCCACUACCGUGCUAUGACCAAGCAGGGUAAAGGAAUAGCAUUACUACUUGAUGUUAGGGAGACUCCUAUAUAUGUCGACCUCCAUCCCCAACGGACAGGCAGACCUGCAAAAAUGCUCAACCCUUCCUCUUAUCUGAGAGGGCACUCCCAACGAAGCCUUUUGAAAUAUUCAGCUUUCUUUCCCCCCGAUAAAACCUCUGUAAACAAGCUAUACUAGAGCAAGAAUAUCUCAUAUCAUCAGGGUUAAAAGCAAGAGUAUCCCAUAUCAUGCUUUUUCCCUGUCUUUUCCUUUGGCCUUGUUCUUACCUACAAGACAAGGAGAAAGAGAGCAAUCAGUCAGCACUUGGAAUCAAGCUUCCAGCCAGGAACUGACUGCCUGGAACCCCUUACCUGAUUACUUACCUGGCAUUGCUCUCGAGUACUCAUCUUCAACAUCUUAUGCUCCCAGGGAAGAUACCGCAUCUACCUGAGGAACAGAUAGGGCAAGUGAGAAGGAUACAAGGAAGCAUGUGGAGACAAGCGUAACAGCACACGUGCCGAUACAUCCACUACUCUGUCAAAAGCAAAAGUAUCCCAUAUCAGCAGGGUCGAACAUACUCUAGAUUUGAUGGACUUGUUUUGACCCUCAAAUUCUUCAGUCGGCCUUAUACUCUGGAGGAAACCAAAAAACCCUCCAGCCCAGUUCAAGAAUAAGCCUGUGGAAAGUUACUUCUUCAAAAGCAAAAGUAUCCCAUAUCAUCUCUUCUCAUUUUUCUUCUCUUUAUCCUUCAUGCUGCCUGCAAGAUAGGGAAAAUGUGAACAAUCAGCCGGAGCUCUGAUUGCUUACCUUGUCUGUCACCUCUUUCAGCAGAUCCCCUAGCUCGGCGACUUGGAGGACUCCUACUACAUGGUUUGUAUCGCGCUUGACCAAGCCUGAAACUACAAGUAAGCUUCAAGUGACAUUGAUACAUUACCUUGUGCAUCUCCACCAGCUACAGAUACCACCCCUGGAUGGAGGAAGAGUACUUCUAGAGAAGAUGCCACAUCUACCUAUGAGACAGAUAAGGAAAGUCAAGACGAUACCACACUCCGGUACUUAGAAGUUUCGUGGUUACGAGAUCAUUCUCCCACAAUAUUUCCUAAUGUCAUUUGUACUAAAUCAUUCACUUGUACUCACUAAAGGAGAGCUUGAACCUAUGUACUUGUGUAAACCCUUCACAAUUAAUGAGAACUCCUCUAUUCCGUGGACGUAGCCAAUCUGGGUGAACCACGUACAUCUUGUGUUUGCUUUCCUAUCUCUAUCCAUUUAUAUACUUAUCCACACUAAUGACCGGAGCAAUCUAGCGAAAAUCACAAAAAGUGACCGUUUUCGCUACCUAGGAUCUAUCUUGCAAGAGAACGGAGAAUUAGAUGGAGAUCUCAACCAUAGAAUACAAGCUGGAUGGAUGAAGUGUAAGAGUGUAUCCGGCAUGUUGUGUGACCGUCGUAGGCCACUGAAGCUCAAGGGAAAAUUUUAUAGGACGGCAAUAAGGCCAGCGAUGUUGUAUGGCACAGAAUGUUGGGCGGUAAAGCAUCAACACGUACACAAAAUGGGUGUAGCGGAGAUGAGGAUGCUUCGUGGGAUGUAUGGGCACACGAGAAAGGAUAAGAUUGGGAAUGAGGAUAUCCGAGGUAAAGUAGGAGUAGCCAAAAUUGAAGGAAAUAUGAGAGAAAAUCGGUUCCGGUGGUUUGGACAUGUGCAAAGAUGGCCUACUGACGCUCCGGUUCGAAAAUGUGACUACGGGACAGAGGUUCAGGGCCGAAGGGGUAGAGGAAGACCUAGGAAAACUUUGGAAGAGACCCUAAGAAAAGACUUGAGUACUUGGAUCUAACGGAGGACAUGACACAAAACCGAGCGCAAUGGCGUUCUAGGAUUCAUAUAGCCGACCCCACUUAAUGGGAAAAGGCUUUGUUGUUGUUGUUGUUGUUGUUGUUGUUGUCGCAUGCAAUUGAUUAGCAACUGUUACUCAAAGCUGUCUUCAACUGGAAAUGUGUUGUUGGCUAUGUAUUGGGUGUGAGUUACUUUUGAUCUGUUAUAGAGUUGAUGUUAUGAUUCUGAUGUUUGAUACGGCUCAUUGUUGUAGGUUUGUUCUUUUUUGGGUGGACUUGUUCACUGUGCUUGUAAUUUUGCUUUGAUAUUAUUAUUAAUAAAGUUCUGUUUCCUUAACAGCCCAAUCUUUUAUACAAUGUAUUUUGAACUUUUUUUUUUGUGGAUAAAUAAUAUAUCUUGAAUUUCAGAGUGUUAUAUUAGCCUAUAAUUAUUGCUUGUAUUGUUUUUGGCAUAGACUGGACCUGAGCACAACCUGUUUUUCUAACAUGCAUUCACUGUGGCAGUUCCCCUUCUCGUGUGUCUGAGGUCGCCUUAAAAGCAAAUAUAUUUGGUUUCAGGAAUGGCCACAAUGAUCCAUCAAGGUGAAUGCUUUGAGAAAAGACUAGCUUUCUUUGUUCUGCUGUUAUCAUGCAUGCAUAAAAAUGUGCGGUUUACAUUCCUACCUUUAAGUUAAUUGAGGUAUACAAUUAUCUAAAGUGGAGCUUUAUUUAAGUUUCUCAUUUGGAGGAUUUUAGAGAAGAAAGGAGUACGAGUAGCAUAUAUCCAAACUAUAAAAGAUAUGUAUGAUGGAGCAAAGACUGCCGUAAGAACUCAUGAAUGACAAACCGAAAGUUUCCCCAUAACUGUAGGGUUACAUCUAGGCUUAGACGAUAUAGUGUUGAUAGAUGAAACUCAGGAAGUGUUGGAAUCUAAAGGUCUUCGCCUAAGUCAAUCAAAGACAGAAUAUAUGGAGUGCAAGUUCACUGCGAAUGGAGACCAAAAUGAGUUAAGGGUGAGGAUCGGAGAUCAGGAAGUACCAAAGAGCGACCGCUUUCGCUACCUAGGAUCUAUCUUGCAAAAGAACGGAGAAUUAGAUUGAGACCUCAACCAUAGAAUACAAGCUGGAUGGAUGAAGUGGAAGAGUGCAUCCGGCGUGUUGUGUGACCACCGUAUGCCACUGAAGCUCAAGGGAAAAUUUUAUAGGACGGCAAUAAGGCCGGCGAUGCUAUAUGGCACGGAAUGUUGGGCGGUGAAGCAUCAACACGUACAUAAAAUGGGUGUAGCGAAGAUGAGGAUGCUUCGUUGGAUGUGUGGGCAUACGAGAAAGGAUAAGAUUAGGAAUGAGAAUAUCCGAGGUAAAGUAGGAGUAGCCAAAAUUGAAGGAAAGAUGAGAGAAAAUAGGUUACGGUGGUUUGGACAUGUGCAAAGAAGGCCUACUGAUGCUCCGGUUAGAAGAUGCGACUACGAGAUAGAGGUCCAAGGCCGAAGGGGUAGAGGAAGACCUAGGAAAACUUUGGAAGAGACUCUAAGAAAAGACUUAGAGUACUUGGAUCUAAUAGAAGACAUGACACAGAACCGAGCGCAAUGGUGUUCUGGGAUUCAUAUAGCCGACCACACUUAGUGGGAAAAGGCUUUGUUGUUAUUGUUGUUGUAUAUUGCGGGCCAAAUUGUUUUCCUGUUAUAAUUGUCCAUCUCGUACAUAUUUUCAUGAGAGCGCUCUAAUUGUUCACAUUCUUACCUUUAAGUUAAUUGAGGUAUACAAUUAUCUACUUGUUUCCAGUUGUGUUAUAAUUGUCCAUCUCUUACAUUUUUUCCAUCUCAUACAUUUAUUUCUCUUUAUGGCACUUCUUCGGCUUUGCACUUUCCUUUUUUGUUCUAAUAUUUUCUAUCACUUUGUUUAUUUUAUUUUUGUUUCCAGUGGAACAUGGUUUCUUUCUGGGAAACUGGCAAAGAUGCUAUUAAUUGACUGUGAGCAGAAUGAUAGUUGCUGCUCAUUGACUAUAUCAGGUAUAAGUUAAAUCAUUCAUUUUGCCAUCUUCUGUUUUGCUAAUUCUUGCAUUGAUGUUAUGUGCUUUUGCUGGUAUAACAUCAUCUAGUUCCAUCUUGAUUUGUUUUGUACUAAAAUAUGUUGAUACAUACAAUAAAAUAGGAAGUACUGGAUUUUUUUUUAAUUUGUUUUUUGUUUUAUUCUUAUAUCUUAGCUUUCUGCUUUGACAUGGAUGAUUUUAAAACGUUGCAGUGCUGGACUUUACCCUGCAUCUCGUGGAGACAGGAUUAAAAAAUGAUGCUGUCCUGGAUUUAAUUGUUUUCUCCAUUCAGUAUGUUCUUGUUAACCAUGAAUACUGGAAAUUCAAGGUGAAGCAUACUCUUUGGAGAGUAACAUUGAAGGUACAGCCUUGAUGAAAACUGAUGGGGUUCAGCCUUCUGGUUUGUGUAUAACUAACAUAAAUUCUGAGCUGGUCCUAUUAAUUGGAUUGCCUCCCUAUAUCAGCCUUGAACCAUCAAACGCCAAGAAAUGACAAGAGAGUAAUUUUAUCAUUAAGAAAUUCCUUUAGAUUUAUAGAAAUGAAAAGAAAUUUGGCAAAUCAAGUUUUUUUUUUUUUUUUUUUUUUUUGUUCAUACGAGCGGUAGGUCUCGGGUUCGAGACUUGGGAGCAGCCUCUUCAUAAAUGGGGGUAAGGCUAGCCGACAUUCACCUCUCCUAGACCCUGCGUAAAGCGGGAGCCUUGUGCACUGGGUACGACCUUACGAGGUCAAAUCCAUUUGCCCUGCAUGCAUUUGAUAUCCUAUUUGUUGUAUCUUGUUAUGCUGUGACGUAUUUGGUUAAUGAGUGCGAAGCCUUUUGUCUUUCUUAUGCCUUCUGCAUUUGUUCUUUAAUUGAUGUAACUUAACCAGUUAAAGAGUAUGAGGCAUAUGACUCAUGAGUCUUUCAAAUAAAAAUGAAUGAGAGUACAGUUAUAUAGGAAGGGGGCUUAGUUAAGAGGUGGUUGUAAAGACUUCCAUUGGGAAGAUAAUCUCUUUGGCCUUUUUCCGUUCGUGUUCGAUUUGACAUUGAUGCCACUAUGUGAGCCUUUAAUGUGGUGGCUAUAGGUUUGAAUUAAGGUCCUUGGAAUGAUAUUUCAAGCGAAGUUAGUUAUUUUCUACAUGAUCUUUGGUUACUUGUGGGAAUGGGGGAAGAAUUGGUUCUUAGGGGGAUGACUAGGUUGAGUACCUUCCUUUUGGCUUUCUGUAUCUACGUUUAGUUGGUUAUAAUUUGUCAUUGAUGUGCCAAUUAACAAUCUCUGCUCUCCUACAUUCCAAACUUCCAAUGAGCCGGAAUUUCAAUUUCCGGAGAAAUUUGAAUGAUUUUCUCUCCUUUUGUUCCGUAGUUUGAAUAAUGUUCCAGAACUGUUGAGUAGAUAACAAGCUGGUAUAGGACUUGUGUACCUUUAAUGGAUUACUUGUUCUCUGUUGUCCUAAUUUCACCUCAUUCUAGUAGUGUUGUUCUGUUUAUUAUCGAAGAAAAGAAAAGAAUAAAAGAAUCAAGUUGAAAGCAUAUUUUUAAGCUGAUACACGUGAGCCCAAUAGCCAAGCUUGUAAAAGAAUUCCUAUCUGAAAUUCUGUCUGCAUCAAUGUGUGCAUGUUAGGGAACCGCAAUGUGCAUCAAUGCAUGCAUGCAUGGUACUGAACAUUGUUUUCUGCACCUGAAUGUCGCUUCUCAAGGCUAGUUAAUCUACUCUAUUUACUCAGUUAUUGAGGUCUCUGAAAUGAAACUUGGUGUUGUAAAUGUCGAUUACGGUGGGAGGGUCAAUUUUUACAUUAUUUUACUGGUUCAGGUGCUAGAAGUGAUGAAAAAAAUUAUUACAUCAGUAUCAUACUCUGAAAAGUUGGAUGAAGUCAUCCUGGAUAGGUUACUGUCUGAUUCGUCCAUCCAUAGUAAACUACCCAAGCACUGGAGGUGGGUUAUGUUAUGUAUCUUUUAAUCUUAUUUGGUAAUGACCUGCUGUUGUUUUUGUUCUAAUCACUAAUUUGAGAGCAUUUUUCUGCAGAGACUUUAUUUCAGCCGGCUCAUUGAUCUAACAGAGAUUGAAGGUCUACAGAUGGCUAUAUGUUCCGUUUUAGAUAUCCUUUUCAUCAUGCUCUCUAAAUUUUCUAAGGUAUUUGGAAAUAAGCUUGUUGAAUACACAUUUUGAUUGCAUGCUAUGUUUGAAAGACUUUUAAAGUUGCACAUGUUACAAUUUUUUGGGAUUAUAUUAGAUGAUGCGCAGAUGUGUUCUGUUUCUGUUCAAAAGUGAGUUUUCUUGAUGUACGGUACAAGUUUAAAAAAUAAACCAACCCUCUAGCUUGCUUUAAAAAGUAAAUGAGCAAUGAACGGUAUAACGAAAUGUUGUGUGUUCUUUUACCUAUUUUAUGGAGUAUUCUGUGCUUUUGCCAACUAUAUGCAUCUGUGAUGGAUAUCUUUCUUUAUUUGAAAUAUGAUGGUUGCAUUUUUAUUUUGUACUGUAGGUCCAUAGUUGAUGUUCAGUUAUGUUUAUUUUCAGGAUAUAUCUUCCAGUCCUCCAUUUUUUCAUCAAGCAGUUUUCUCAUCAGCUAGCAGACCAAUUCCUAUUGUUGCAGCGCUUGUGUCCUUGAUAUCUUACUUUCGCAAUCCUGUAUGGCCUUUCUCCAUACUCAAUUGUUAUUGAUUACAUUCUCUUCAUUGCGUUUGUAAAUACUAUAGUUAUAUGGUUCUUCCAUUUCGGUAACUGUGUAUUUACCUGUACAUUAUCAAAUUAUAACGUUGUUUUUUCUUUUUGUUAUUUCUGCUGGAAGAGUUCCUCAUUUACUUGUCUCCAUAUCUAUGUGAUUGUUGCUAUGUAGGAGUUGCAUGUCAAUUUGUUUCUGUUUUAUAUACUUUGUAGAACACAUGGAUUCAUAGGAAACUUGUACUUGUAUUCAGUGGUUUGUUACUCAGACCGUUGGGCAUGAUAGGCGUAAUGCUAAUCUUUUUUACCUUCAAACCAGAAUGCCCUACUUGAUUGUAAUGGCUUUGUGCACAUCUUAUUUGCAUUUAAUUAUGAAAAGGUUGGGCAGACUAUAAAUAUGGGGGAAUGUGUCCUUGUUGACUUGACCUUAAUUGUUUGCUUUGCUUGGUGGUAGGUGGGAUAAUAAUCUCAUAAUUGUUGAGCAUCUUUAUUAAUAUUCUCAAGUUCUCAAUGCAGGGAAUACAAGUUGGUGCUGCUAGGGUUUUAUCACUGUUCUUGAUGAUGGCUGAUUUUUUGGUCGGAUCGGAUUGGAAACAAGCAUUCCAAUCCACUCCAAAAGGGGUUGGAAUCAAAUAUUAGUUCCAAUUUCGGAUUUUGGAUUAUGAGAAUUUAUCAGAAAUUUCAAAAUUGAUUUUAUCUCGGAAUUUUUGGAAUAUAAUUCGUAUCUCUUGCAUUUUGCAAGACUUUGAAAAUUUUCAAACUUUUAUGUAUCCACCAUUCAAUAUUUUUUCUGAAUUUUUGCAAUAUUUGUAGGCCGCUGCAUGUGUGUUAUGAGAUAAAAUCAUAUUAGAUAAAAUAAGUUCUAGUCUUAUUUUUUAUUUUUCUACGAAUCUAUUAAUUUUAACUUGUGAAUUAUGUCUCUGGUUUUGUUUUCACUUUGGUUGGCUGUUUAUCACUUCUUUUUUCAUCUUCAUACAUUCUGUGAAUUUGUUGGUUAUGUUUUAUGAGUUGAAGCUUUUGGUUUUCCUCUUAAGUUCACUGCUCUAGGAAAUAGUCAUUUUUUGUAUAAGAAAGUUUCUCAUUAUUGUGUUCAAUCUGCUUCAUGACAUACGUUAGUACUAACCUAUUAUCUACACUAAGGGGUGGGGGAGUGGCUUUGGCGAGAAUCGAAAAUAAGACCUCUCACUUACAAGUGAAGAGUAAUACCACUGGACCCUAUUGCAAUAAUGUGGUUCAAAUUCGCCUUUGGCGAGAAUCGAAAAUAAGACCUCUCACUUACAAGUGAAGAGUAAUACCACUGGACCCUAAUACUAAGUGGCUUAUAGCUUCUUAAUUUUUAGAAUGCAAUAUUCAUACCUCUGUAACUUCACAGGUUGCUGCAAGUGUAAUCACUGCUUGUGUGAUGGUGAACUUAUCAAUUGGUGAUGCAGGAAGUUUGUCUAUGUCAUUAGUUGAGAAGUCCAGUAACACGUCAAAUAAGGUUCAUUCCCUUCUUGAUUGUGUUACUUAAUUUGUAAUCCAAGAUGAUUGUAUGCUGAGAAACCCAUAAAAGGUUCAAUUUAGUUUCUAAUUUCAUAGAUUCUCGUAUUUAGUACUUUCCGUUUUAGUAAAAUUGAGAUUGUAUAAUUUGCAUCAUAUCUGAUUGCUGUUAUCUUUCUUCUCACCCUUCUUCAUUGGCAGCUGAGAAGUCAUCCUGCUUUUUCUGAAUUGUUAGCUCAAUACUCACAGCAUGGUUACAGGUAACAUGUGUGCUAUUGUUAAUUUCAGUUGGAAUUUCUAGGUAAGGCUAGCCGACAUUCACCUCUCCCAGACCCUGCGUAAAGCGGGAGCCUUGUGCACUGGGUACGACCUUUAGCACUGCCACUUUUGAACAAGGCAUUUGUAAGUCAACAAACUGCCUCUAUACAGUACCUCUCCUGAGGAUUCUGGAUAUUUAUAACUGCCCCUUCCGGUCAAUGUGUUCUUAUAGUGUGAGCUGUGUUAUGUGUGAUACUUUAGUUUUGAGUUCUUGUCUUUGACAGACCGUCUAAGUGGUGACAUGCAGUCAUAAGUUUGGGAGGUUAAAUUUGCAUAGGCUUUGAAUACCAUAUUUGGUUUUUUUUAUUUGUUUCACAUAUACUCUUUUAAUAACCUGUGUUAUAUCUCAAAAGAAUGCUGAGACUACCACGUGGAUAAUGGAAUCAAUGAAUAAUGCGUGUUAUGUAUGUGCCCAUGUAUGAAUAAUAUAUAAUCUUAUUUUCAGUGCAGGGAAAGAGCCAAACUAUUUGAUACUUAGUGAUCUCUACUAUCAUCUGCAAGGACAGCUUGAAGGCCGUGAAAUCCGUGCUGGACCAUUCAAAGAACUCUCUCAGUUCCUAAUUGAAUCAAAUAUUUUUCAGACUUACCAACACAAGGAUGAUGGUGAUCUUUUUGUGACUGGAAGAGAUACAUACUUAUUUGAUCUUAAAUUUGUACGUGCUGAUUUGGGGUUAGAUCUUUGGGAUUAUUCAAAAUGGAAAGAAUCGAAGGCAACUGCAGAAACAAUGUUGCAUCACAUGAAAGCUGCAAACUCAAUGGCGAUGCUUACAAGUUCGAAGCUUUCUGCACUGAGAGCAUUAAGAAGUGUCUUAACUGUAUACGGGGAGGAUGUGAGUACUCUCUUAGAGUUUCUAAUUGCUUUUAGAUGCUUUCUUUAGAAAUUUGAUAUGCAGUGUCCUUCCGUUGAGGAAUCCCUCAACGAAAGGGGUCUGAUAAUAUCUGUAACUGCAUUUUAGGGUUGGAUAUUUUAAGGAUCAUGCAGAUGUAAGAGAUGUAAUGUUUUUGAAACAUGUUACAUCUGAUGCUAAACAAAUGUUAAUGCCUAAUAUUCUACAGGAACCUGUAAAGUUUGUGUAAAAACUAUUUCAAACAUUGAUUUCUCAUUUCAAAUCUUUUGGAAGUUGAACAGCAUCAGUGAUAUUGCAGUCUGUGAACUCUAUGCUAUACCUAUGUCAUGUCUACUUAAGUACUGAAGAAUGCAAUCAAAUAACUAGGACCUACGGCUAGAGUAGUAACUCUCAUGAUAUAAGAUGUGUCAAGUUUGUAUUGUUCAAAAUCGGGGUAUGAAUAGUAAAAGCAUGUAAUGGUAACUGGAGAAUGUGGAUUUCAUUUCGAAAUACUCUUUUAAUUAAUUUCUAUUCAUCUUACAAUGAACGGUUGUGAAGUCAUUGCAUUCCCGUUAAAUCAAGAAUAUGACAAGAAAAACCGAGAUGAGGAGGUUUUGAGUGUUUUGACAUAUAGUGAAGGCUACUUUGUCUUCGAUAAGACACAUGAUCUAAGCCUCCUGCUUUCAACAGUAGCAUCUAGAUGCUGAUCAGCACGGUAUUUUUGUCCUUGUGUUAAAGGUCGAUGAAUUUUUUUGUUGUGACAGUUUAGUUCUUGUCACUUUGUUGCUUUUACAAAUAUCUUAUUUCUUUUGAAAUUAAGUCAUGUGUACCUGCUACUGCAGUCACUGGAGACAAAGAGUACAGUGAGAUGGAUCCCUGAUCAACUUGUUUUCUCAUGCAUAGAUCACAUAUGCCUGAGCUUCCACAACACAGUAGAAUCAUGAGCUCCAGUACCCAGCGCUUCUGAAGAUAUCUUUCACUUCCUUGCGGCUCAAGCAGAAUUGCUUCUCUAUCUUAUGAUGUAUGCACAUAAAAGCCUGCCUUUAUCUGUUUGCAUUCUCGUACUAAAAACACAAGGUUCUGGCCUUUAAGUGUUGAGUGAUUUCAGAGCAUUAGUUACCGGGCCAUCAGUUAUGGGGGUUGACACUGUAGUAAAGCUCUUACUUAUGUUGCUUCUCUCAGCAGUGGAGUUUGGUUGUCAUAAGUUGCAUUUGGUUGGGGCAAGAGAUAUAAUUUCUGUCGAAGACAUGGCUAAAAUAUCUAAUGUGAGUCUUGGUCUACUACCAGUUCUCUGUAACUGUAUUGCUACUGCUGAGCACGGAACCCUCUCCCUAACUACUAUGGACUUGAUACUUCGAAAUUUCUUGACUCCCAACACUUGGUUCCCCAUUAUACAGAACCACCUCCAGCUUCAGCGUGUGAUUCUGAAGCUUCAAAAUAAAAAUUCUCUUGAGUCUGUGCCUGUUAUAAUGAAUUUCUUUUUUACUCUUGCCCGUUUUAGGCGGGGUGCAGAAAUGCUUAUUAAUUAUGGCUUUCUCUCGUCUCUGAGAUUCUUGUUCGCUGAAUACUUGGAUGGUACGUCUUCUUCCGAAACUAUUGAUAACAGAAAUUCCAACUCAUCAUCUAAGAAACUGGAAAAGCCUCCGCAAAUAUGGGGACUUGGUUUGGCAGUCAUCACAGCUAUGGUUGAGUCAUUAGGAGACAGUGCUGCUUGUUCCAAUCUUGUGGAGAAAGUACUACCUUACUUCUUUUCAGAGAAAGACUAUAUGAUUUCUUACUAUCUAAGUGCUCCGGAUUUCCCAUCUGAUGAUCAUGACAAGAAAAGACCUCGGGCUCAGCAGAGACAAACUUCUCUUACUGAUCUUAAAGAAACUGAGCACACUCUCAUGCUAAUGUGUGUGCUAGCAAAACAUUGGAAUUCCUGGGUUAAGUCUAUGAAAGAAUUGGAUUCCCAGUUGAGAGAGAAAAGUAUCCAUCUUUUAGCCUUUAUCAGUAGGGGAACUCAAAGGCUUGGAGAACCUUCUAGUCUUAGUGCCCCUCUGUUAUGUCCUUCUGUCCUUAAAGAGGAAUUUGAUGGCUGCAAGAAACCCUCAUUUAUCAACAGUAAAAGUGGAUGGUUUGCCCUUUCUGCCCUCAGUUGUGUUUCAAAACCAAAAUUCUCCACCAUCCCUACCACAUCUACUGCGCUGGUUAUUAAAACUCAAGCAACUGUAAAUGGCAGUCACAUUUCUCAGUCAUAUUUCUCUGACUCUAUUGCCCUACAGAUCUACAGAAUAACUUUUCUCCUUUUGAAGUUCCUGAGCUUACAAUGCCUGAGAUCUUACAUGGCUUACAGGUACGACGAUAAAUUUUGUUCUUUGAUUAGCUUUUUGUUUCGUUAUGCAAAACUAUAUCUGGUCUACAAUAACUUGUAAGUUUUGAGGUGGCGUUCCUUUUUAAUGUGGAUGUGUUAUUAUCUCUAAUGUAGGACCAAGCAAUUACAAUUGUUACAGAGCUGUGUGAGGUUAACAGAUCAAACGAGAUUCAAAUUGAAGUCCAGAGUAUCUGUUGCUUACUGCUACAAAUAAUGGAGAUGGCCUUGCACUUGGAACUCUGUGUUCUGCAGAUAUGUGGCAUAAGACCCGUACUAGGUCGUGUGGAGAGGAUUUUUCAAAGGAAGUUAAACAUUUAGUAAAAGGUAAAAACUCCCAUUUAUCUGCAUGUCUUCCAGUUGCAUUGAAUACGUAGUUUGUUACCAAGCUACUGGACGUUCAGUGAGUACUUGAUGUUUUCGUGUAAUGUGUUUUGUAGCGACGGAGAGACAUGCUUUCCUCAAACCAUCUGUGAAGUCCUUGAAACAGAUAUUAUCGGUCGUUUAUCCCGGAUUAUUACAGGCUGACGAGUUUCUGUGAGAUAGUCUUGUGCAUAUAGGCGAAAACCGAAAACUGUAAGGCUUUGCAAUGUAAUGUAAAAACUCUGCAUCACUUAAAAGGAAGGCUCAGAUGAACGGCUUUAGAAAUAUUCCACAUUUUGGUUAUAAAAUUGUGGGGUUUCGUUGAGCCAUUGUUUUUUGUAUUAUAUAUUGAAUUGCUUUUAAAAAAGAUGUGUUGUAUGAUUGAUGGGCAAGAUUUUGUUGAAUCCGUCGGCCAUUUUUCAUUGUCGCGUGCGAAUUUCCUGCCCUUCCCUUUUCCAAAGUUGAUUCCGUCAAGAGUCUCUGUCUCUGUCUCUCGUGUAAUUUACACGAAUUUUGAUUUGAAGGGAAGAUCCAUGGGACGGAGUAAUGAGAUUCAGGCCCUUUAAACAAAGACAUCUUUUUCUUUCUUUUUUUUGGAAACAUAGGGAAUAAUUGUAGAAUUCAUUUCGUAUUGAAUUUUAAUGAUUCGAUUUGUCUAUUUUGUAAGUCUUGAUUCAUAGAUCAUUUUUGCAAAAUUUCAAUUCAAUUCGAUACCAUUUGUCUAUUUACUAGUCAUAAUGAAAUUUCAAUGUUUUUAAGAGCAUGGUGUGUUGUCAAUUUCUUUGAACUAAAUUAGAUGCCUAAGAUAUUUUUGAUUUGGUUAAUAUUUUACAAGUUAAUCUAUGAAAUGCAACUUGAAAAAUAAAUAAUUCGAAUUGUUAAAAUUCGACGUGAUGUGAACCCCACGACUAUUUUUCAUUUUUGAGAAAAAUGGAAGUCUUUUCCCUUAAAGACUCUGAUUGUUACUACAAUACUCAGCGAUGUGCCUCACAUUGUUUUAUUGUCCUUGCUGUGCCACUUCUAUAUUUGUGUAAAUACAGUGAAAGAAUUUUAUAUACAUUUGUUUAUUUUUUGCACAUCUGGUUUCAAUUCUGACUUUUGAUUUCGCUACCAAUAACUGAAAAAAAAAAUGCAAGAGGUGAAAAUCAAUUUACAAAAAUAAUAUCCCUAAAUACGCAAGUUUAGAAAGUUGGAAGGACAAAACUUGAGAUUCAUAGGAAAAAUCUAAAAGAAAAACUGAGACAACUGUCCAAGUAACGGUGACCACGUAAUGAAUGCUACGAGAACAUAUGUCCAAGCACUUAACAAAAAUUGCCAUUUUGAAAUAAAUUGAAGAUAAUCCCCUAACUUUACUAAACAAAGUGCCCUCCUCUUUUUAGGAACAAUGACCCUUUAACCAUAUUACUUCUAUUCAUUUCUGAUUUAUAUUUUCCAUUAUGAAGAAAAUUAACAAACUAAUCUUAAUCUGCUUGUUGGUUGGAUCAAUCCGAAAGAGAUCUUUUAAUAUGUCUAAAAUACGAUGCGGUAUAUCAUAUUUUAUUAUAUAAGUAGGGGAUUUUUUUUUUCUUUCAAGUAUUCAUCUUUUCGUAUAAUAACAUAUGAUAUAUGUGUAUGUUUCGAGCACUUUGAAAAUCUCACAUCAACCCACAUUUCCAUGGUUGGUGGAUCCAUGCUCCACGGGUAUAAUCAUAUUUAAUAAAUAUAAAAAUAUAAAAAUUGGUUCCCCUGAUCCGUAAUUUCAGAUCUUUUGGCUUCAUAUAUUUGUUGACAUCUGAAUAACCUCGUGAAAUCUCCACUGUUGGAUCUGCUCCAGAGAAGGUCAGUAAUUCAGUCAAAUUGUCAGUGUUAACUUUUUAUUAAAUCCACACCCGAAACCCCCGAAUAGCAUCUUAUCUUCUCCUCAUGUGUCGACGAACCCUUACCCGAAAGCAAAAAUGGUUUCAAAAGUAAAGAAGAUAUGUCUUUCACCAAGAUCAUCAAAUCAAAUGAUUUGAACUUUUAAAAUUUCAUUCAACUAUAAAAUAUUAUUAUAGUUUUGAAAAGUUUAAAACAAGUGGAUCGUUGGAUAAAAUUUUAAAUGUCUGAAUCACUUAAUCAUAUGAUAUUGGUAAAAAAAUCCGACAAUGAUAUAUUCUCUCAAAAGUGAAAUUAUGAGAGAGUCGCUUUAUAAUAUUAUAUUUUAUAACGAUGGAACGAAAAUUACUGUAAAAAUCAGACUCAAAAGUGAGACUCUAACUCAAUAAUAACUCAUGUUAUGACACAGUAUCUUCUGUUAUUGAAAUGAAAAUUAACGUUAAAUUAUAAGAUGACAGUCGACCUCAUCCGAAAAAUAACAAAAGCAUAUACCCAGCAUACCCACUUCAUUCAACCUCGGAUCCCAAAAUACACCACGGUUAAAAACCCGACCCAACCACGGUUAGCCCGUCCCUCUUCGGAUUCGCUCCACGUUUUUCAAUCCAACGGAUGAAAAAAACUUGACCUAGACAUUCCCCGCAGAAACCCUUUUAUAAAGGGAACUUUAACGAAAAGCACCCGGUACUGUUCACUUUAACGAAAAAUCACAUUUUUACACUAAAAAGUCAAUCUUGGUACUAUUCACUUUACCCUUUAUUUUGUCCUUAUUAUUAAAACUCAAAGUUUUCAAGCCCUUUUCAUUAGUUUUCAUUUUAUAAACCCCCGCGUCUUCGUGAUCUGGUCCACGCAUCACAAACCCCAAUCCCACUCUCUUCAUUCUCUCCUCUAGAACGAACCGCAAUGGCAAACCCUAAGGUUUUCUUUGACAUGACGAUCGGAGGCCAGCCGGCCGGCCGAAUCGUGAUGGAGCUCUUCGCCGACACCACCCCCGCACCGCCGAGAACUUCAGGGCUCUCUGCACCGGCGAGAAGGGCAACGGCCGCUCCGGCAAGCCCCUCCACUACAAGGGAUCCGCCUUCCACCGCGUGAUCCCCGGGUUCAUGUGCCAGGGAGGUGACUUCACCGCCGGAAACGGCACCGGAGGAGAGUCGAUCUACGGCGCCAAGUUCGCCGACGAGAACUUCAAGAAGAAGCACACCGGACCUGGAAUAUUAUCCAUGGCCAACGCGGGUCCCGGAACCAACGGAUCUCAGUUCUUCAUCUGCACAGCCAAGACCGAGUGGCUCGACGGCAAGCACGUGGUGUUCGGGCAGGUGAUCGAGGGUCUGGAUGUGGUGAAGAACAUCGAGAAGGUCGGAUCUGGACAGGGAAGGACCUCGAAGCCGGUGGUUAUCGCCGACUGCGGCCAGCUAUCCUAGACGCCGCCGCUUGGGCUGCUGAUGUAUGGACGAUGGAAACGUCGUCGUGUUAUGUGAUGAGUGUUUAAAUUUGGGUAUUAAAGUAGGUGGGGUCAUAUUAGGGUUUGGGUUAUGGAC
RNAcentral lists this long non-coding RNA (45873 nucleotides) under Malus domestica (apple). RNAcentral describes it as "long non-coding RNA (MDOM_LNC009354)". The record is from RNAcentral. Lineage: Eukaryota; Viridiplantae; Streptophyta; Magnoliopsida; Rosales; Rosaceae.